This 81268-nucleotide long non-coding RNA is filed under the name Sorghum bicolor (sorghum). RNAcentral describes it as "long non-coding RNA (SBIC_LNC006488)". The record is from RNAcentral. Lineage: Eukaryota; Viridiplantae; Streptophyta; Magnoliopsida; Poales; Poaceae.
CGCUAGUGCUGCCAAGAUCAGUUUCUACAUCAAGGGAAGAUAGGAGACGUUUUCCCUCAAGAACAAGACUACACAAAUCUCAGAGCAAUCCCGACAUGAACCAAGGAAGAGGACCAACAGGAGGAAUAGGAACAAGCAAAUAUGGACCGAGUCAGCUAAGAUGGUCACUGCAGUUCAAGGAGGUCAAGAUCGUCGAUUUAAGUCACCGUUCCUGACCAAAAAGGACAACCCAGCUCCAGAUGGCAGAUCAGACAUUCCGAAAGAUUGAAGGAUAUUGAUAUGGGAGAAGACGAGUACGAUCCGCCCAUCAUCCUUGGGAGACCGUUCCUCAGCACCGUUAAAGCAAUCAUCUACAUUGGAACCAGAGAAGUCCACAUGCACUUCCCCUCUGACAAGGUAUGCCGCUAUUUUAGUGACCCUAACUAUAUAGUUGAAGACUCUAAGCAGGUCAGGACAAGAAGAAGACGACGCAACCGCAACCAGAGGAGGCAAAUCAUCAAGGACGGAUGGGCAGACUAUGAAGGAGAAGUGGUAAGGUCUGAAGAUAUACAGCUUGAACAGAACUAUCCCGAGGAGACCGUAGCACCGAGUCAGGUGUGGAGAGAGAAGAUAGUUAUACACGAAGAGGAGGUGCCGCCGGAACCACCGACUACGCCAUCCAGCGAAUCCCAGGACAACUGAGAAAACAGAGAGUCCCGUUCGGAGGACUUAAAAACACCGAACGCCUUGCCAAGAGGUAAACUUGGUAGUUAUCCUUUUCCUUUCAAUUAUUUAAAAUAGUUUGCGUAGUUAAUCAGGUUCAUAUCAUCUUGAAAAGAAAAUAAAAAUGUUAAAAAUAGUAAGCCCCAUGUGAAUAUGCUCGUGGCAUAAAACCCAUAAGUACAUUCACUGUGGUGGCGUAAAAAUAAAAUAAAUAUAUUCCUGUCCUAUAAAUAUGAAAAUAUAAAAAUAAAUUUAUGAUCCUACCAAAGAGAGUAAUAUUUAUUAGAGGAAGCUCAACAUGAUAACGACUAAGAGAUUUUAUGCUAACACUUAACCAGUUCCACAAAGCUUUGUUGUUUAUUUGAGCUCCACAGAAUUCAAGGAUCAAAGAAGACUAACAGACGGAGGACAUCCUAAUCGCUGUCAGGGUAGUGCCGACAUUCAAAUACACCUCCGCCACCUGAUAGCUACACCAGAAGAAAUUACGUCAAAAUCCAGCUUGGGGGAGAGCACCCCCAUUCAUCCAGCUAAGUGUUUCUAUUCACGAUUAUACUUUACUCAAAUAAUAAAAAGAUGCAUAAUCAUAAAAACCCAAAUAAAGAUUUUGUGCUUAUAUAUAUAUCUUUGCUUAAUUUGCUAAAUAAAUAAAUAGAUAAAGUUUGCUAUGAACCCUCAUGAUAAGCUCUCACAUGGAAAUGAUGAAUGGUUGCUCUGCCAUGACUAGUUCUCAAAAUUGAAAUCUCUCUCAAUUUUAGGCAUGACUGUUAUUAGUUAAGAUUUGCUCUAAACCUGAACUUGUGGGAACAGUACUUGAUCUAAAGUCUAAGUCGUUAAUGGAUACGAUAUGAGAAGGUUGAGCUGCUGUUUAUCUGUUCCUAGAGAUGCUAGAAUUCUAGAGAAUUUUAUCUUUGAAAAUCUUUAAAAUAUCACAUGAUGAGUUCCUGUAUGAUGAGAGUUUAAAUUCCUACCACAGCCAUAUAUACGUGCUUGCUAGACUUUGAGCCACACAUUUACUUUUUUACUGCUUAUGAGCAUUGAGUGUGGUCAAGUUGUGUAGACCCUUAGGAGCUUGUCAUGUGGUUAAAAUCAAGAUUCACUUGCACGUUCACUCACACAUGCUACUUCUACUCCAGAAGUACGCAUCCACAUAUAUCCACCCAUUUCCAUCUCCAGAACCACCCAAAAAUAUUCUACUCCUAAUCCAGGAGAGCCAAAAACAUUUUCCUAUUUCUGUUUUCCCCUGUGAAAUAAAUGCUCAAGUUAUUUCGGUUACUACCACUUGCUACAUUAUUUAAAGAGGUGAGUGCUCAUAAAAAAAAGAAGAAGAUACGAGGAAAUAAAAAGGGGCAAGUGCCCGGAACCUCGAAAGAAAAGAAAAAGUGAGACGAGAGGUAAAAAUGGACAAGUGUCCGACAGUAGAAUUAGGGGUACAAGAUACCCACCUGAGAGAAAAGAAAAAUAAAAUAUAGAGCAUCUCAUUCCCCUCAAAAGCCUCAAGUGCAAGGAAGGUAUGUACCCCCUCAAAAGAGCAAAAGUAGAAUUAGACUUUCACCAUUAUUUUCACCAUUUCACCAUUCAUUCGCCACACAUGCACAUCUUGAUUUGACUUAUUGACUUGUUCUUCUGGAUCCAUGGUUUGACUAUGCAAUAAAUGUCUUGUAAGUAUGUAUUAGCUGUCACCCACCUAUGAGCUCCAGAUAUCAAAAUCUUAUUAGAGUAGGGUGAAUGAGAAGGCAAUGCCACUAUGCCUCAUACCAAAAAUACCACAUACUUUGAGAGAAGGUAUACACCAUUAUUGCCUUGGUAAGGAUCCAGAAAUACCACAAAAGAGAGACUAGAGAGAGUCAUACAAGGAAUCUCUGAGUUUUAUUUGAAAAUCUGCAAAAACUCCAGAGCUAUAGUUAAUCGAAGAACAAGAGACAUGGCGCUUGACUAGACUGUUCUAUCUUUUAACUGCUCAAGACACAAGUGACGGUUGCAAGCUCCAUGGUGAAAGGUAAAAUGAGUAAGUUUUUAAGUCUUAACAGUUUACCCUAACCCAGAGAUGAGGUCUUGUUUGAAUGCAUGUGUACCUUUAAGACAUAAAACCACUGCAGAAACUCUUGAGUCUAUCUUUGCUCAGGGACGAGCAAAGGUUAAGCUUGGGGGAGCUUGUUCACGGUCCUUAAUGCUCACAUUUAACCGUCAACUAAUCAUGGAAAAGGACUUAUAUGCAACCAACACUCAGACUUAGGGUUUUGUCUGACAGAAUUCCACGAGUUUUGGUGUUUGUCUAUUUUAGUAGGCGGUUAUCAGGAAAUACGGAGGAAAGGCCCACACGUCGAGUUUACAUAGAGAUAUUAACGUGCCGCGCAAUUUUCUAUCAUCUAGAAGACUCCAGAAGCCACGGGAACGAAGUGGAAGCAGAACGGGGCCUGGCCCAGGGUGCCCGCCCUAGAGACCAGGGCGCCCGCCCACCUUCUGUGCCCAAUCAGGGUCAACUUCGCGGAUCGUGCUCUACCGACCUAAGGGAUCAAGGAAAACCAUGCGAUUAAUGUCAGUUUGAUCUGACGGCCCAGUUUCAUCUGAAAAGACUAUAUAAGCAAGGCCCCCUGGCCCCUGGAGAGCAUACCUCUUCUACAGAAUCAAAGUUAGAGUUUCAAUUCUUCAUCCAAGUAAAGAGGAUCCCUCUAGUUCAUCUAGUUCUAGUUCUAGUUCCUCUAGUUCUAGUUCUAGUUAGUUCUAGUUGUAAUCUAGAAAAUAGGGAGAGAGAAGAGGAGAGCAGAGGAGGAGCCAGAUCUGUCGGAUCUUCCUCAACAUUAUACUUUUGCAGUAACUGGUUCGUUCUUCAUCGUUCUACAAGUUCUUCAAUUCAUAAUUCCUGAGUUCUUUAAUUAAUUUUAUUUACAUUCAAGUUAUUUAUUGGAUUCUCGCUUGCAUCAAGUGCUCUAGUCUUUAUAACGCUAGAGUAGUAAUUAAUAGAUUAGACAUGGUGUUUAGUCUUGCAAUUACCUGGAAUUGCACCCAAUCCUGCGGAUUGUUGUGGUAGCCCUAGGGUAGUGAUAGCCCUAACGGUCGACGUAUUCCACCUCGUUUGGAUCGGUGUUUGUAGGACCGUAGUUAGAGCUUCCUAGCCCCCUUCUCAUCUCUUUCUGUGGUUAGUGUUUUGAUGUCCCGAAAUAAAUAAUCUUUGAAGUAAUUCUUGAUUCUUAGAUCAACUAGAGAACUCUCAGGAAACUUCCUAUCUUCCCGCCAAAAAUAAUUAUAUAGUUAUCCUUGGGUGAUCUUGGAUCUUAAUUAGUACACUCAUGUUCCCUGUGGAAAAUCGAUACUCUAGAAUACUCCUGGGUGAAGGCUACAUCGGUAUCCGUGCGCUUGUGUAUUUUUCUGUUUGCGUUUAAAAUAGCCAACAGCGGGGUAGUUCAUGGUGGUGACAGCUCCAUUCAUUUUUAUAUAGUCCCCCUCCCGUGUAUAGGGCAGACAGAGCAAUAUUAUUACAGGGGAGUAAUUGCUAUGUUUCUCAUCUUCCUUGAUAAUAUCACUAUGCAUGGGCGUAGUCCUGUCUCACAAUGAUUGCCAAGUAUAAAUGCACUAACUAUGAUAUGCUAGACUUUAUAGUUAAGAAUAACUUAGGAAAUAUUCUUGUAGUUCAUCCUAAUUCCAUGCUAAUGACUUGCUAGAAUAUCUGUUGAGGUGCUUAUCAUUAUUAUAUGUGGCUAGUUAUGCUGAUCAGAUUAAUUAUCUUUGUCACCAUUCAUACUUUAUCUAUAUUUUAUGUGACAUUUAUCCCUGUAUGAAAGAGAUAGAUAAGUGCUCUCUAUUACACAUGCAAUGAUAGAUACUCAAUUCCAUAUUUCAUUCCAUAAUCAACAUUGAUGAUUAGCAAUCCCUUCCCAGUAGUAAAAAUAUAAAUAACGAUACCUGGAAUACUUCCCGGUUAAAAUGCUACAUCCGUAUUGACCUGUGCGCUUGCAGAUCUCAUUUAUUAUUCAUUCAGAAGAGCAAUUGCAUAUUUCAAUACCGCAUCUCUCAUGUCAUGUUGGGGAUGACAACUUGGCUUAAGUGGCAUGAGGGAUAGGUUUGGCAUUUUUGGCGCCGUUAUCAGAAUUAGAAAACUAAGUCUACUUUUGGUAAUGACGUUAAGAAUGCCCAACAAGCAUUUUUGGCACCGUUGCCGGGGAAGGUUGAUUACUAAUAAGGAAUGAAUACGGAAUUUUGAGUCAUCAUUCGCAUCACUAAUAUGAUUGAGAUUAUCAAUUCUCUCGUACAGCUUGUUGACGGUUCUUAAGUAUCAAUUUUAAUUAUCAAAUAAACAAGAGAAAGGACCAAUAUGCAACCAACACUUAGAAUAAGGGUUUGAUCUGACAGAAUUCCAUGAGUUUUGUUGUUUAUCUGUUUCUGCAGGGGGUUAUCAGGAAAUAAGGAAGAAAGGCCCACAUGUCGGGAUUACAUAGAGAUAUCAACGCACCGCGUGAUUUUCUACCAUCUAGAAGACUCCAGAAGCCAUGGGAAGAAAGCAGAGGCCGAAAGGGGCCAGGCCUGGGGCGCCCGCCCUGGUGACCUGGGCGCCCGCCCCAUGCUGGAUUCCGUUUGGGACUCUCUUCGCACACGAUGUUCCACCGACCUAUUGGAUCAAGAAUAACGUAGUACCACCUCGCCUACCGACCCAAAAACGCAUAGAGGAGGAGGAUUAUAUAAGGAGACCCCCCUGGCCCCUGGAGAAGACAAGAAAUUAUCAUAGAGAUUGAGGUGCGCCCUCGAAGGAAAACCUCUUCUCUAAAUAAUAUUUCUUUUUAGGCUUAGCAACCAAUGUAAAGUAGAAAUAGAUCUUCUAGUUUCUACUAGAUGGAGAGAGAUAGAGUGGAGGUGUAGAUUGGAGGAAGCCCGGCCUGUCGGUGUCUACUCCAAGCUUGUACCUGCGGGAUCAAGUUCUCCUAACCCGAAGCUUGCUCCUAGGAUUCUUCAGUAUUUUGACUUCUAAAUUCUAGUAAGUUCUUGUUUUAUUGUUCUUCUGGUUUAUGAGUUUGCUUUCGCGUAGAGUUUAGAGUAAUCAUUGCUGGCGUAAAUGUGGUGUUUAGGCUGGGGUACUCAUAGAUAUUCCCUGACUAGCUAGACCGUGGUAGUAGUGAGGAACGUGACAAUUCCGAGUUACCUUUGCAGACCAUAUCUCGUUAGUAGGAAGGAUAGGGUUUAUAGGUGCGGGUUGAACAUCCUUUGUGGUGUCUAGAUUCCGUUAGCCUCCCCAAUAGAACAGUAGAUCAUCCUUACCAAGGUUAGAAGGAGACUACGGUUGCAGUCUUCUCUAUUUAUCACUCACAUCGAGAGACAUUCUUUGUUGCCUAAAGGGUUAGUAGUAAUAGACCAGUUAGUCAGAUGCACUCUUUCUCCUAGUGGUAAAAAAAUAAAUACGAUACUCUGGAUAAUUUCCCGGGUGAAGUGCUCACCGAUAUCCGUGCGCUUGCGGAUCAAUUCCUUAUUGCGUUCCCAAUUUUCAACAAGCAUUUCUGGCGCCGUUGCUGGGGAGAAAGACGGUUUGCUGAGAUAACCUUGAGUCUUACUACUAGCUUGUAUCUAUACUUUUAUCUUUUCUUAUCUUUUUUAUUCUUUAUUUAUUUUAUUUAUUCUUACCUUAUGGAAAACCAAAAUUCUAAAUCGAUCCAUGAAUCUGCAAUCCCUUCAGUAACUGACCUUUUACCAUGGGAAUCAUCACAGCGUAUCCAAACAUCCCAGUAUAAGUUAAGUUCUAGGUUGAUUGCCAUGAUUCAAAACCUAUCUUUUUCAGGAAAGGAAGACGAAAACCCUUACCUUCAUAUUAGAGAUUUUGAGCAAACAUGUGAUUGUCUUCGCAUUGAAGGCAUAUCUGAUAAAACUUUAUGUUGGAAGCUUUUUCCUAUUUCUUUAAGGGGAGAAGCUAGACAAUGGUACAGUCAGAAGGUAAGUCAACAACAAGGUGAAUGGGGAGUUUUACGAGCCAACUUUUGUCUAGAUUUCUAUUCCCUCGACCGUAUAGCCGACCUUAGACUCGAAGUCCUAUCUUUUAAACAAAAAGAUAAUGAAACUUUGGGAAAAUCCUGGAAAUAUUUUUCUGAUCUUUUAGAAUCUGGUCCAAACCUUAAUCUUGAAGACCCUGUUCUUUUAUUUCACUUUUUUCAAGGUCUUCAGAAAAAUCACAAACAAAUGCUACACACAAUGUCUAGAGGUUCUUUCUUUCGCAUCCCUACUGAUGAAGCUAGAGUGAUCUUAGAUAGAAUCCUAGAAGCUGAGAUGGAUAAUACCCUUCAUGAUGAAACCUACGAAGCCGAAGUAGACACUCUGCCAAAUUCUUCAUCUACUUUAGCUAUCCCAAGUUCUGAGCCACAAGAGGAAGAAAUUCCACCACCGGACUUCAUGCUGGAUAUAGAAUCCAAUCUUUUUGUCGAUUUUGGAAACAUUUCAAACUACCAUUCUAUUGACAAACCCCAAGACGGCCAGUUUAGCAUUUAUUUGCCAAGUGAAUAUCAAUUAAGAGAGCUUAUCUCAGUCAUAAGUAGCGAAUGGUUGGAGGAAUCAGAGCUUUCCUCUGAUGUGAUCCGUUUGGACACACCCUCUAUAACUAUACGUUGUGCUUAUAAUUCUGAUCGAUUUAAUGCUCUCUAUAAUCCUGUUGUGGGGAUCAACAUCAUGUCUGAAUCUUUUGCACUUAAACUAUUUAAAAAUCAUGUCUUCACCCCCACAACAAAGGUCAUAAAGGAAUCUUCGGGACGAUUAGUCCCCAGUCUUGGAAUUAUUAAUGUCCUACCUCUUACAGUAGAAGGCUCCAUGGUUCAUUUGAACUUCUAUAUCUUUGAUACAUGGGACUUUGACAUGUUGAUAGGACAACCUUUUAGAAGACUCCUUUAUGAAGGUCAUACUGGAAAGCUACACAUUUCUUUUGGAAAAACCUUUAAAUUCCCAAUAACAAUUUCACACUCCUUAAACAAUAAGGCCGAAUCAUAUCAUUUGCCUGAUCCUAUGGAGGAGGUAAAGGCUGCAUCUCUAGAGCUUUUAGAAGAAUUAGACUUAGAAGACGAAACUCUGUUCUUCAUAGAAGAAGAAGCCGAACCUUCUGAACCUGAACCCUUAGAUGAGUUUGCAGAAACACCUAGAGCUUAAAACUUUACCACCCGGUCUUACCUAUGCUUUCCUAAACAAUAAUCCAGAGUUUUCUAUGAUCAUUAGCGAUAUACUCACUCAGGACCAAACUCUGCGAUUAAUGACUAUUCUUGAGAAACAUCACUCAGUGUUCAGCUACUCACUCCAUGAUCUUACAGGAAUCAGUCCUAUGAUUUGUACCCAUCGUAUUCCAACAGAUCCUUCUGUUUCACCUUCUCGAGAACCCCAACGUAGACUUAAUAACACUAUGAGAGGGGUAGUUAAAAAGGAAGUUAUAAAGUUGCUGCAUGCAGGGAUUAUAUAUCCUGUGCCGCACAGUGAGUGGGUAAGCCCAGUUCAAGUUGUGCCUAAAAAGGGAGGCAUGACUGUUAUUAUGAAUGAAAAGAAUGAGCUAAUUCUGCAACGCACCGUCAUAGGAUGGCGGAUGUGCAUAGACUAUAGAAAACUAAACAAAGCCACGAGAAAGGAUCACUUUCCUUUACCUUUCAUAGAUGAGAUGCUAGAGCGGUUAGUGAACCAUUCGUUCUUCUGUUUCUUAGAUGGAUAUUCAGGGUAUCACCAAAUCCCGAUCCAUCCUAAUGAUCAAAGCAAAACCACUUUUACAUGCCCAUAUGGAACUUAUGCUUACCGUAGAAUGUCUUUCGGGUUAUGUAAUGCACCAGCUUCUUUUCAAAGAUGCAUGAUGUCUAUAUUUUCUGAUAUGAUUGAAGAGAUUAUGGAAGUUUUCAUGGAUGAUUUCUCUGUUUAUGGAAAAACUUUUGUUAGUUGUCUUGAAAACUUAGACAAGGUUUUGCAAAGAUGUGAAGAAAAGCACUUAGUCCUUAAUUGGGAAAAAAUGUCAUUUUAUGGUUAGAGAAGGAAUAGUGCUGGGACACUUAGUGUCUGAAAAAGGUAUUGAGGUGGAUAAAGCUAAAAUUGAAGUAAUUGAACAACUACCUCCACCUGUGAAUAUAAAAGGAAUUCGAAGCUUUCUUGGCCAUGCUGGUUUUUAUCGUAGAUUCAUAAAAGAUUUUUCAUUCAUUGCUAGACCACUUACUCUUUUGCUAGCCAAGGAUGCUCCUUUCGAAUUUGAUGAUGCAUGUCUAACAUCUUUUAAUUUAUUAAAGAAAGCACUCACCUCUGCACCAAUCAUUCAACCCCCUGAUUGGCCAUUGCCUUUUGAAAUUUAUGUGUGAUGCUAGUGAUUAUGCUGUGGGGGCAGUAUUGGGACAAACUAAAAAUAAGAAGCAUUAUGCAAUUGCUUAUGCCAGUAAAACUUUGACAGGAGCUCAACUUAACUAUGCAACCACUGAAAAAGAGCUUCUGGCUGUUGUCUUUGCCAUUGAUAAAUUUAGAUCUUAUUUAGUUGGAGCUAAAAUAAUUGUUUACACUGAUCAUGCUGCACUAAAAUAUUUGCUCACUAAAAAAGAUGCUAAACCUCGCCUGAUUAGAUGGAUCUUAUUACUCCAAGAAUUUGACUUAGAAAUAAAAGAUAAAAAGAGAGUAGAAAAUUCUGUUACUGAUCAUUUGUCUAGAAUGUACUUUAAGAGUCUACAGGAAACCCCCAUCAAUGAUUCACUCUGGGACGACAUGCUCUACGGGAUUAACAGGUCUGACCCCUGGUAUGCAGGUAUUGUUAAUUUUAUGGUUUCAGGGUAUGUACCACUAGGAGCAAACAAGAAGAAGCUUAUUCAAGAAAGUCGUUCACAUAUAUGGGAUGAGCCAUACCUCUUCCGAGUAUGCUCUGAUGGCUUACUCAGGAGGUGUGUGACCACUGAGGAAGGAUGGAAGAUCAUCAACAGAUGUCAUUCAUCACCAUAUGGAGGUCACUAUGGAGCAUUCCGCACACAUUCAAAGAUCUGGCAGUGUGGAUUCUACUGGCCUACAAUGUAUGAAGAUAUGAAGCAAUAUAUCAGAAGAUGUGGGCCAUGUCAAAGAUACGGAAACAUAAAUACAAGGGAUGCAAUGCCACUCACCAACAACCUUCAGAUUGAGCUCUUUGAUGUCUGGGGAAUAGACUACAUGGGUCCAUUUCCUCCAUCAAAGAAGUGCAAGUACAUCUUGGUGGCAGUUGACUAUGUCUCCAAAUGGGUAGAGGCAUUACCUUGCAAGCAUGCCGACAACAUCAGUUCAAAGAGGAUGUUUGAAGAAAUUAUAUUUCCAAGAUUUGGAGUCCCCAGAGUAGUGAUAAGUGAUGGAGGAGCACACUUCAUCGACAAACGCUUCAAGCAAUAUCUAUCAAAACAUGGAAUCCGUCACAACGUCGCUACCCCCUAUCAUCCUCAGACAAGUGGCCAAGCAGAGACUUCCAACAAACAAAUCAAGAAUAUUCUUCAGAAGAUAGUAAAUGAAAUGGGAACGGCGUGGAAAGACAAGUUACCCGAUGCACUCUGGGCAUACCGAACAGCAUACAAGACCCCAAUUGGAAUGUCUCCAUACUAAUUGGUGUACGGGAAGACUUGCCAUCUACCUGUUGAACUAGAGUUCAAAGCACACUGGGCCAUAAAGAGAUGGAAUAUGGACCUAGAUGCUGCUGGAGAUUAUAGAAGAAUGUAACUAUUAGAAUUGGAGGAAUGGCGAGAGAAAGCAUAUCACAAUUCGAAGAUCUACAAAGAAAGAGUCAAAAGGUGGCAUGACAAGAGAAUCAAGAAGGAGUUCACACCCAGAGAUAAGGUAUUACUUUUUAUUUCCAGGGUGAAGCUUUUCGGGCAUGGAAAACUCCGGAGCAAAUGGGAAGGACCAUUCAAGGUAAUUAAUUCAUCAUCCCACGGAGCUAUCACACUUCAAAAUGACGAAGGUACGUUAUUCAAGGUAAAUGGUCAGCAUCUUAAAUUAUUUUUAGAGCCCAAUAAAGAAUUAGAAGAAAUAGACGUAGUCCAUUUUUACCUUCCCAUGGAGAAUUAGAGCCCGACCUUUUUAGUCUCACGUUUUCGGGUCAUAUAUAUUUUUCUAAAUAGUUUUGCAUCUAAUAACACCCUCGAGGAAGUGGACCCACAGAGGGGCCAGAGAGAGGGCGGGCGCCCAGAUCAGGUGGGCGGGCGAACAGCUCCUGUUCCCCCUCGGUCCCGACUUUCUCUGUCAUGGAAAAUGCACUUAAGGAAAUCCGAAUAAUCCCUCAGAUGGAAAGCUUCGCAAGCACAUCGACGGGAGCAACCCGAACAACCCAUAGAGGUACUUUUUGACCCCUAUAUAAACAGACCCCUGACCUCAGUUUUCAAACACCAAGCCAUCAAGCCUUAUCUUCUUCUUCAAUUAGAGCUUGAUUAGUUCCUUGCUGCUCCAAUGGCCGAGAAGUACCACGAUGUUUGGGAAGUCGUCCCCUUCAACCUCAACAUGGAGCCGGUGGAAGACCCCGAUGCCCGUGCUCUCGUCCCGGCCAACACAGAGCGACAACUAGAAGCCAUGCCAUUACGCCAACGCAGCUCCGCCCAAUCCUACCAUGCUCAACCAGUUCUCACCGCACCGCUACAACCCCUACUCCUCAAGGGAUCAUCAUCUAAGACGAAGACCACCAUCAAGGUGCCAACCGGCACAAGGAUCCUUCCACCUAGACCCAAUGAGAGAGUCGUUGGAGUCAAGACCAACCGGAGCGGUGAGAUCAGCAGCGUACGCUACACUACGGAGGUAGAAAGGCCUUACUUCGAAGGGAUUAGAGCAGCUAAAGUCCGUUUUAUCCCUCCAAAGGCAGCCCCGAAGCACGCUAUCAAUGCUUUUGAGACACCUCCCAAGCGUCGCAAGACUAAAAUGGAUAUUGAUGAGGACAUUCGCAAACUAGACAGAGUUAUCAUAGACCUCCAGUCCUCGAUUAAUUCCCUCACUAGGCAGCUCUCUAACCACAACACCAUCGUACUAGGCCUUAGACAGGAUCUUGCCAGUGCCAACAAGAAGAUUAAGGAAUUAGAGCGCCGCUAAGUUAUCUAGAUUAGAUCUUGAGGCAAUGCAUCUUAGUCAUCUAUCUGUAAAUUCGGUUUAGGUUUACUAUUAUUAUCAGUUUACUACUAUCGUCAGUUUGCUACUAGUUAUUUGUAAUAAAUGCCUCAAGAUUAAUAAAGAAUAUUAUUAUUAUUAUUAUUAUUAUUAUUAUUAUUAUUAUUAUUAUUAUUAUUAUUAUUAUUAUUAUUAUUAUUAUUAUUAUUAUUAUUAUUAUUAUUAUUAUUAUUAUUAUUAUUAUUAUUAUUAUGUCUCGUGUGUCUCUACUUUAUUUUUUGUGCAAGAAAGCAGAAAACAAGUAUGGGGGAGAUCCCUCGACAUGCCAAACACACUCCGACUACACCACUCCACGAUUCAGGUGCACACUCUGCACACUUUACUUUACACAUACACAUAUCUUGGAUUAUGCAGAAUACUGUUUCCGACAUGACAAAUUAAAAAGAUUAAAAUAUUUCUAAUCAUGAUUAAUCUCAAUCUGUGAUAUUUCCUGAAACUUGCAAUUAUUAUAAAAUCAUUUUAAAACCCUGUGUUACUUAAGACACUAUGAAAUGUGAGAUGGUAGAGUUUCUUAUUCUUGAUAUCAUUGUUGCUUGGAGAAUUUAUUUUAAAAUCUUUAAAAUUCUAGCUACCAUCCUCAGUGUUUUAUAUGCCUGAUAAAAAACUGAAAAUACUAAUUAUGAUUAUAAAAGCUAUCUACUCUGUAUUGAGUUUGUUCAAAAUGAGUUAGACCCUUGUUGAGAGAUUUAUCAUGCUCCUAAGAUCAAGACAUUUAUUCAGAAAGAUUCACUCUUCCGAAGUAUUAUUGCAUUAGAGGCAUGGGCUAUGCAAAAAUAAAGAUAUUUCGAGGAAAUAAAAAGGAGCAAGUGCUCGACAACCUCGUAGGAAAAAUGGACAACUGUCCGGCAGUAGAAUUAGGGGUACCUCGGUAUCCAUUAAAAAAAAAGAGAGAAAAAAAUGAUAAGCCCAUGGUCCCUCUAAUAAGCAAUAUGCCAGCAAGGGUUGACAAAGAUUUUAAUUUCCAAAGUCUUUGAUCUAAGAGUAUGACACUCCCCUCCUCGGAUCCCGUUUUGAUCAGGCAAUAAAUGCAAAGUAAGUAUGCUUAAGAAUUUUUACAAAUAAAAACAGCCUCAGUGAGAUAUAUAAAAGAUAAUGAGUGAUCUGAGAGAACCUAUGAGGAUAAAAAGGUAUGCUAGCUUUCUUUCAAAAUGAUACAAAAACUCCAAGUAACAGGAUUGAGAAGAAAGGAUCUUUACUCUUAAUCAUAUACUUCCCUGACUACAGUACAUAGAGGAAUUUUAAUACCCUGCAAAUAUAAAGAAUGUUUUAGAAUAUUUUACCCCAAGUAUUGUUCUUAACCAUCCUUUUCUCGAGGACGAGUAAAAGCCUAAGUAUGGGGGUAUUUGUUGACGGUUCUUAAGUAUCAGUUUUAAUUAUCAAAUAAACAAGAGAAAGGACCAAUAUGCAACCAACACCUAGAAUUAGGGUUUGAUCUGACAGAAUUCCACGAGUUUUGUUGUUUAUCUGUUUCUGCAGUGGGUUAUCCGGAAAUAAGGAAGAAAGGCCCACAUGUCGGGAUUACAUAGAGAUAUCAACGCACCACGUAAUUUUCUACCAUCUAGAAGACUCCAGAAGCCACGGGAAGAAAGCAGAGGCCGAAAGGGGCCAGGCCUAGGGCGCCCGCCAUGGUGACCUGGGCGCCCGCCCCCUGCUGGAUUCCGUUCGGGACUCUCUUCGCACACGAUGUUCCACCGACCUAUUGGAUCAAGAAUAACGUAGUACCACCUCGCCUACCGACCCAAAAACGCAUAGAGGAGGAGGACUAUAUAAGGAGACCCCCCUGGCCCCUGGAGAAGACAAGAAAUUAUCAUAGAGAUUGAGGGGCGCCCUCGAAGGAAAACCUCUUCUCUAAAUAAUAUUUCUUUUUAGGCUUAGCAACCAAUGUAAAGUAGAAAUAGAUCUUCUAGUUUCUACUAGAUUGAGAGAGAUAGAGUGGAGGUGUAGAUUGGAGGAAGCCCGGCCUGUCGGUGUCUACUCCAAGCUUGUACCUGCGGGAUCAAGUUCUCCUAACCCGAAGCUUGCUCCUAGGAUUCUUUAGUAUUUCGACUUCUAAAUUCUAGUAAGUUCUUGUUUUAUUGUUCUUCUGGUUUAUGAGUUUGCUUUAAUCUCUUCGCGUAGAGUUUAGAGUAAUCAUUGCUAGCGUAAAUGUGGUGUUUAGGCUGGGGUACUCAUAGAUAUUCCCUGACUAGCUAGGCCGUGGUAGUAGUGAGGAACGUGACAAUACCGAGUUACCUUUGCAGACCAUAUCUCGUUAGCAGGAAGGAUAGGGUUUAUAGGUGCGGGUUGAACAUCCUUUGUGGUGUCUAGAUUCCGUUAGCCUCUCCAAUAGAACAUUAGAUCAUCCUUACCAAGGUUAGAAGGAGAUUACGGUUGCAGUCUUCUCUAUUUAUCUCUCACAUCGAGAGACAUUCUUUGUUGCCUAAAGGGUUAGUAGUAAUAGACCGGUUAGUCAGAUGCACUCUUUCUCCUAGUGGUAAAAAAAUAAAUACGAUACUCUGGAUAAUUUCCCGGGUGAAGUGCUCACCGAUAUCCGUGCGCUUGCGGAUCAAUUCCUUAUUGUGCUCCCAAAUAUCAACACAGCUUUACCCCUGUAUUUUUCUAUUUUGAUUAUUUUAUGUAGGGUAAUGUAUGAAUAGAAGACAUCUUCCAGGAAAUUUUAUUGAUGACUCCGAAGCACUAUUCAGAAAAACCAAAGCCAAGCUCAGAUCGUCAACACUUCAGCGUAAAGCUUCGUCUAAACCAGAAGACCACCGAAGUUUCAUCCGGAACUUGUCGACCGAGUUCAAAGCCAUGGCAAACAAGUCGAUCUACGAGUUCUUAGCUCCCACUACAGACAACAUCUGCACUGGACCUGCUGUGGAGAUCGACUGCAACUUUGAGCUCAAGCCUUGGCUCAUCAACAUGGUGCAAGCCAACCAGUUCUGUGGGAAGGUGCACGAAGAUGCUAGUGCUCAUCUCCAACACUUCCUAGAGAUUUGCAGCACAUUCACCAUGUGAGAAGUCCCCAGAGAUGCUAUACUACUUCGCCUCUUCCCAUUCUCACUGUUGGGGAGAGGGAAGCAGUGGUUCUACGCUACAAAGGAGAAGAAUACUACGUGGGCACUCUGCUCUAUGAACUUUCUGGCUAUGUUCUUUCCCAUGGGCAAGACCAAUGCUCUCUGUGGGAAAAUUACAAGUUUUCAGCAACAACAUGAUGAAUCCGUUCCAGAAGCAUGGGAGCGCUUCUAAGACUACAUCCUAGAAUGUCCCCAUCAUGGAAUGGAGAGCUGGCUACUAAUGCAGACGUUUUAUCAUGGGCUCGGCAACAGUGCCCGAGAGACCAUGGAUGCUGUAGCUGGAGGAGCAUUCCUAUCACUCACCAUACCACAAGCCACAGAGACCAUGGGUGCUCAAGGAGGUAGACAUGCUGUCUACCAAGCUAGACCUGCUCAUGAAGAAGCUUGAUAGAGCUGGAGAUAAGAAAGAAGUCAUGCACGUCUACGACUCUCACAUGACUUGUGAGGAGUGUGGAGAUACUGGACACUCAGGCAAUCACUGCCCUAAGAUGCAUGAGGACGUGAACUACAUCAACAACAACAACUACUACUACUAUAACCGUCCUCAACAAAAUCAAGGAUGGAAUCAACAGAGGCCUAACUACUUAGGUAAUUAUCAAGGUAAUAAUUCUUACAGUAAUAAUAAUAAUUUUCCACCUCUGAGAGAGUUAGUGUCUAAUCAAGGAAAGCUAAUGGAUAACCUAUCUAAGAAAUUGGCAUCUAAUGAUAAAAUCUUAGAAAAUAUAAAUAAUAGAAUGGAUAAUUUCUCUACUGCCAUCAAGAAUCAAAUUAGCUUUAAUAAAAUGAUUGAAUCUUAGUUAAAUCAAAUAGCUGUUGCUGUUCCUGCUACUAACCCCGGUAUACCAUCACAACCGGAAGGAUUAUAAUCUGCAAAUCUUGUAGACAUGUCUGAUGCAGGUAACUACUGGAGUAACCCUGUUGUGGAAGUAACUACUGAUAUUCUGCCGGUCAAGAGAGGCGAUCCAGGAUGCCCCGUCAUCCCGAUCUCCAUUGGCAUGGUGGACUUCCCAGAAGCACUCUGCGACUUUGGCUCAAGUGUCAACAUUAUGCCAGGGUACUCUAUGAAAAAUUUUUACAUGUCCUUUAUUAGAAACAACCAUGUGUUGCAACUUGCAGAUCAGACACUAAGUUUCCCAAGGGGAAUAUUGAAGAACCUCUGCCCCUAAAACCGACAUAAUGGCCGUAGUCACCGGGUCGAGCGUCAACAUAAUGGCCGUAGUCACCUAUCAGCUCCUGUUCGGAACCAUGCCCCUAAAACCGACAUACAUUCAGGUCCAGAUGGUAGAUUAGACAUUCUGAAAGGUUGAAGGUAUAGUAACUGAUGUCCCUGUCAAAAUAGACGAUAAUUUUGUCCAUACAGACUUUUAGGUUAUUAACAUGGGAGAAGACGAGUACGAUCCACACAUCAUCCUUGGGAGACCGUUCCUCAGCACCGUUAAAGCAAUCAUCCACAUUGGAACCAGAGAAGUCCACAUGCACUUCACCUCUGAGAAGGUACGCCGCUAUUUUACUGACCCUAACUAUAUAGUUGAAGACUCUAAGCAGGUCAGGACAAGAAGAAGACGACGCAACCGCAACCAGAAGAGGCAAAUCAUCAAGGACGGAUGGGCAGACUAUGAAGGAGAAGUGGUAAGGUCUGAAGACAUACAGCUUGAACAGAACUGUCCUGAGGAGACCGUAGCACCGAGUCAGGUGUGGAGAGAGAAGAUAGUUAUACAUGAAGAGGAGGCGCCACCGGAACUACCGACUACGCCAUCCAGCGAAUCCCAGGACGACUGAGAAAACAGAGAGUCCCGUUCGGAGGACUUAAAAACACCGAAUGCCUUGCCAAGAGGUAAACUUGGUAGUUAUCCCUUUCCUUUCAAAUCAUUUACUUUUUGUUAAAAAUAGCUAGUUCAGUUAAUCAGGUUCAUAUCAUCUUGAAAAGAAAAAUAAAAAUGUUAAAACCAGUAAGCCCCAUGUGAGUAUACAAGUGGCAUAAAACCCAUAAGUACAUUCAUUGUGGUGGCAUAAAAAAAUAAUAAUAAAAUAAAAAUAUUCUUCUGCUCUAUAAAAAUGAAAAUAUAAAAAUAAAAUUGUGAUCCUACCAAAGAAAGUAGCAUUUAUUGAGGAGGCUCAACAUGAUAAAGGCUAGAUAUUUAUGCUAACACCUAAUUAGUUCCACAAAGCUUUGUAGUCUAUUUGAGCUCCACAGAAUUCAAGGAUCAAGAAGACUAGCAGACGGAGGACAUUCUAAUCGCUGUCAGGGUGCUGUCGACUUUCAAAUACACCACCACCUGCUAGCUACAUCAGAAGAAAUUAUGUCAAAAUCCAGCUUGGGGGAGAGCACCCCCAUUUAUCCCGCUAAGUAUUUCUAUCUACAUUUAUACUUAUACUAUAUUAAAAUAAAAAAAUUAUACAUAACCAUGAAAAAAAUGGACAAGGAAAACCAUUAAAAAUUAUACAUAACCAUUAAAACACUACCACUUGCUCUAAAAAAAAGAAAAAAAAAGAGAAAGGAUACGAGGAAAUAAAAAGGGGCAAGUGCCUGGAACCUCAAAAGAAAAGAAAAAGUGAGACGAGAGGUAAAAAUGGACAAGUGUCCGACAGUAGAAUUAGGGGUACAAGAUACCGACCUGAGAGGAAAGAAAAAGAAAAUGUAGAGCAUCUCAUUCUCCUCAAAAGUUUCAAAAAGCAAGAAAGGUAUGUGUCCCCUCAAAAGAGCACAAGUAGAAUUAGACUUUCACCAUUGUUAUCACCAUCAUCACCAUACACCAUUCAUUCGCCACACAUGCACAUCUUGAUUUGACUUAUUGACCUGUUUCUCUGGAUCCAUGGUUGGACGCAAUAAAUGUCUUGUAAGUAUGUAUACUUUAUCUCCCACCUAUGAGCUCCAGAUAUCAAAAGCCUUAUUAAAGUAGGGUGAGAUAGAAGGCAAGGUCACUAUGCUUCAUACCACAAAUACUACAUACUUUGAGAGAAGGCAUAUACCAUCACUGCCUUGGUAAGGAUCCGGAAAUACCACAGAAGAGAGAUCUGAGAGAGUCAUACAAGGAAUCUCUGAGUUUUAUUUGAAAAUCUGCAAAAACUCUAGAGCUAUAGCUGAUCAAGAAUAAGAGACAUGGCGCUUAACUAGACCGUUCUAUCUUUUAACUGCUCAAGACAGAAGUGACGAUUACAAGUCCCAUGGUGAAAGGUAAAAUGAGUAAGUUUUAAUUCUUGACGGUUUACUCUAACUCAGAGAUGAGAUCUUAUUUGAAAGCAUGUGUACCGUCAAAACUCAAAGGCAUUACAGCAACUUCUGAUCCAUCAUUGAGAUUAUCCUUGCUCAGGGACGAGCAAGAGGUAAGCUUGGGGGAGUUUGUUGACGAUCCUUAAGUAUCAAAUAUAAUCAACAAAUAAAUAGAGAAAAGGACCCAAAUGCAACCGACACCCAGACUUAGGGUUUUAUCUGACAAAAUUCCAUGAGUUUUGAUGUUUGUCUAUUUCUGCAGGGGUUAUCAGGAAAUAUGGCGGAAAGGCCCACACGUCAGGUUUACAUAGAUAUAAUUACAUUCUGCGCAAUUUUUCCUAAUCUAGAAGAGUCCAGAAGCCACGGGAACGAGCGGGAGGCCGAGCGGGCCCGGGGACAGGGCGCCCGCCCUCCCCCCUUGGGCGCCCGCCCUGCUACCUGGGCAAAUCAGGCUCCGUCUCACGGAUCAUGCUCCACCGACCUAAGGGAUUAAGGAAAAUCGUGCGAUUAAGGUCGGUUUGAUCCGACGGCCCACGUUCAUUUGGAAGGGCUAUAUAAGCAGGCCCCCUGGCCCUUGGAGGAGGCACCUCUGAAACCCUAAUUCAUUCAUUCAUCUUGGGAGAAGAAGUCUCUGAUCAAGCCCUAGAGCCACCACAUCAACUAGAUCUCUAGUUUAGCAUAGCUACAUAGGAUUACAACUAGAAGGAGUCAAUCUUCGAUUGGUUUUCGGAUCUGUCAAGAGGAUUCUUGGUAAUUCCUCUACUAUUCUUCAUUUGUUCAUCAUUGUUCGUCAAUAUUAUGAAUAUGACUUUGCUCUACUUCAAUAUAUUGAUUAUGACUUUGCUCUAUUUGUUUAUAUUUGCAAUUAUAUCGUUCUUAGUUUAUCAUAGUUAUAUGCUUGGCUUAGUUAGAUUGGAAUUAUAUACAUGUUUAGGAUCGUAUAGCGUUUAUCCAUGUGUACAGUGGGUAAAUGAUAAGUAUUGUGUAUGCGUGGUGCCUAUAUCGUAUUUAUCUACGAUUGUACCCUAUAUGCCAGAUCGUGGGGUAGUUCUGGUGGUGACAGCUCCAUUGAUUCUUAUAUAGUCCCCCUCCCGUGUAUAGGGCAGGCAGAGCAACAUUAUUAUAGGGGAGUGAUUGCUAUAUUUCUCAUCUUCCUUGAUAAUAUCACUAUGCAUGGGCGUAGUCCUGUCUCGCAAUGAUUGCCAAGUAUAAUUGCACUAACUAUGAUAUGCUAGACUUUAUAGUUAAGAAUAACUUAGGAAAUAUUCUUGUAGUUCAUCCUAAUUCCAUGCUAAUGACUUGCUAGAAUAUCUGUUGAGGUGCUUAUCAUUAUUAUAUGUGGCUAGUUAUGCUGAUCAGAUUAAUUAUCUUUGUCACCAUUCAUACUUAUCUAUAUUUUAUGUGACAUUUAUCCCUGUAUGAAAGAGAUAGAUAAAUGCUCUCUAUUACACAUGCAAUGAUAGAUACUCAAUUCUAUAUUUCAUUCCAUAAUCAACAUUGAUGAUUAGCAAUCCCUUCCUAGUGGUAAAAAUAUAAAUAACGAUACCUAGAAUACUUCCCGGUUAAAAAAUGCUACAUCGGUAUUAAUCUGUGCACUUGCAGAUCUCAUUUAUUAUUCAUUCAGAAGAGCAAUUGCAUAUUUCAAUACCGCGUCUUUCAUGUCAUGCUGGGGAUGACAACUUGGCUUAAGUGGCAUGAGGGAUAGGUUCGGCAUUUUUGGCGCCGUUAUCAGAAUUAGAAAACUAAGUCUACUUUUGGUAAUGACGUUAAGAAUGCCCAACAAGCAUGUUAAUCGCUUCAUUAUUCAAUAUGGAGAGGCAGCUAGCAAAGAUUAAUUAAGAGUUCGAUUAUUUUCAUCUUCUUUGUCUGGAUCGGCAUUCACAUGGUUCAUAUCAUUGCCACCAAAUUCUAUUAUUACUUGGGCUGAUCUAGAGAAACAAUUUCAUAAGUAUUUCUUUGCUGGAGUCCAUGAAAAGAAGCUUACCGAUUUAGUAAAAUUGAGGCAACGUAAUGAUGAAUCGGUAGAGAGCUUUGUGCAAAAGCUACGAGUUGUGAAGAAUAAGUGCUACAACCUGGUGCUGGAUGAUCGGCAGCUUGCCGAUCUAGCUUUUCAAGGGUUAUUGCCACAUCUCUAGGACAAGUAUGCUUCUUAGGAGUUUGAAAGCCUUAGUCAUCUUGUACAAAGGAUCUCUGAUCAAGACAUUAGGGUUUUUGAGCCUAAAAAGAAUUGGAGCAAAAAGGUGUCAUUUGUCGAUGAGGUAGAAGACACUGAUUGUGAUGAAGAACUAGUUAUCGGCUUAGCUGAGUCGGUUAAGAAUAAAAGGCCGAUAUCUUGUCCUUUUGGUUAGAGAGAACUAGAGAAGUUCACCUUUGACAUCACCAAAGCCGAUAGGAUAUUUGAUCUUUUGCUUCAAGAAGGUCAAGUUAAGCUAUCACCCAAUCAUGUGAUUCCAUCAGCAGAAGAGUUGAAGAGAUCAAGUACUGCAAAUGGCACAAUGCAACUUCACACAGUACCAAUGAGUGCAAGGUGUUCAGGCAGCAGUUGCAAUUGGCUAUCGAGUCUGGAAGAAUUAAGUUUGACAAUUCUAAGACCUAGAAGCCGAUGAAAAUCGAUCAGCAUCCUUUCCCAGCAAAUAUGUUGGAUGCCAAGGGUAAGACCAAGGUAUUGACAUCAGAAACUGCUGAGAAGAACGCAUCGGUAGAUCCCCAACAUCGGAUAACUACUAAUGACGCAAAAGGCAAGGGUUUGUUGGAAGAAAGUGGUAGUUCCAAGAAACCUCCUCGACCUGGAAUUGUGAUCACUCAUCGACGGCAAUAGGGAGGAAGGCAGGAGGAGGAUUAGCGUCGGCGUGAGGACCAAUAUCGACAACAGCAAGAAGAGAAACAUCGGGAAGAGUGGCAUCGGCAUAAAGAUCAUUGGAGGCGCCCGUUUUUCUUCUACUGCUGGAAAGAAGUCGUUAAAUUGCCAACUAUUGAAAAAUGCCCUGAGUGCAAUGGUUACUAUCGAGCCAAUCGACCUGGUAAUCGAGGUUUGUUUAUCAAUGAGCCGAUGAGAGGCAGAGCAUCAGUGCAUGAUCGAUUGGGGGCAUACUCAGUGUACAUGGAAGGCUUUGUAAACACCUUGGCUAUUUCCAAGGAAUCAAGAAGAGCUUAAGGAGAUGGCAAACGCAAGAGUUCCCGAUGAAGAAAUAUUCUAUAGGGACCCUAAUAUAUGUCGGGUAGAAUCAACUGAGGUCCGAGCCAGUCUCAAAAACUAAGCUUCCCCAAUGGUGCCUUGAGGGUUUGACAAAGACACAGAAAAGGAGGAUGCAGCGUGAGCGUCUGGAAGACCUAUAAAGAGAGAAAAGCUCUUCCAAUGAGAGGCCGGAACAUCAGCAGUGGCAGUCGAAACACAAGGGUAAGGGCUCAUCGACAGUUAUUAAUAUGGUAUUUAUGUUGCCGAUGGAGUUUUUGUCACCUUCUAAUGAUGAGGAAGUAGUUGUUCUCUCCGAUCAUGUAGCUAAGUUGGCACUAGAUCCAAUGAUGGCUAUUUUUGAGAAAACUACUAAUGACGAGAGACAUCAUCUCAAAGCUUUGUUUGUUAAGGGUAGAGUUGAUGGGCAGCCUAUAUCUAAGAUACUCAUCGACGGGGGAGCUGUGAUUAAUAUUAUGCCCUAUGUGAUGUAUCAGAAACUUGGCAAAGGAGAUCAAGACUUGACCAAAACCGAUAUGAUGCUGAAGGAUUUCGAAGGCAAUGUGUCACCAGCCAAAGGGGCAGUAUGCGUUGAGUUGACCAUCGGCAACAAAACCUUACCAAUGACGUUCUUUGUUAUCAAUGGUAAGGGUGCGUACAAUCUGCUUCUAGGUAGGGACUGGAUUCAUGCCAAUUGUUGUGUUCCUUCCACAAUGCUUCAAUGGCUCUCACAGUGGGUUGGGGAUAAGAUUGAGGUUGUCCUUGGUGACUCUUCUUACGUCAUCACAUCGACAGAAUCAGAUACUUAUGAGUGAACCAAAUUUAUAUUAGGAGAAGCUUGGGAGAAGGAGUUUCUUAGAGUUGCCGAUUAUGAAAUUCCACCGAUCCAAGCAGUCGGUUCUGAAGAGGUGUUUUAAUGGAUAGGUUUGCCGAUGAUGGAAAGUUAGGUCAGGGGUUCACAUCGGCUGAUAAUUUAGUAGAGGUAGAUAUUGGUAGUGGUGAUAGGCCAAGGCCUACUUUUAUGAGUGCUAAGUUAGAUUCCAAGUGUAAGCAGCAAUUGACCAAUUUGUUAAAAGAAUAUAAAGAUUGUUUUGCUUGGGAUUAUACUGAGAUGCUUGGAUUAAACUGAUCAAUAGUUGAACAUCGGUUACCUAUCAAGUCUCGUUGGUGCAAAAGCUGAUCUGCAAACACAAAAGGUUAAUACCCGAUUCAAACGUUAAGGCGUGCCAGCCGAUUUGACCUUACAAUCGACAAAGGUGGUAACUCGAACACUUUGGUCCCGACAACAGCGAUGCGCCUGGAUGUCACGGCCAAGAGGUGCUCACGCGGAACUUGAGAACACGCCGAGUUUGACUCGACAAAUUCCUAAGAACUCGUAGUAAAAGGGAAAAUAUGACGAAGUCGUCGAAAAGUAGAUGCUAGAAAAUAUGUAAAAACUUGUGUUUGAUUGAUUGAUAGAUAUUCUCAUUACAUUGCCAUGGGGUCUACAUUUAUACCCUGUUCAAAAGAACUACAACCAGACACGACUAGAACUCGAACCCCAAAUUAAACGGUAUCCGUAUACAAAAUGAAUUCUAAUAACUAAGGAAAUCAUUAAACUAUCCUCCGCAACCGAUCGGUACACUGCCACGAGUCAAUCGGCAACCCUUGCGCUUUUCUUCAUAAGCAUCGGCAGACCGCCUGUUACAGCCAUCGGCAACCAUCAGCACUAGUCAUCGGCACGAACGUAUCACCACUCCUAGACUUGGUCAUAUUCGGUUGUUUUCCCAUCGGCACCAACCUUUAUUGGCAACUCCCCUGUAGACUAGUCACCAUUGCUCCACCUGCCGAUCUACACUUCAUUAACUCCAGGUGUGUAUCCAAGGAUACGUGUCCAAAAAUAGUGUCAACACAUGCUCCCCAAUUUUGGAGUAUAAAAUCAUUAAUGCUCCGAAAUUCUCCUUAGUAACGACGCCUUUCCACAAUUACUUCUCCCAAUUUGGUAAUCAGUCACCAAAUCUGAACAACCUCAGCCCGAUUCUCUUGCAGGUUCCUCGAAUUUCUCAACUUCCCAAACCGAAUCUCCCCAGAAUACUUCCAUCGGCAACCUUUCCGUUAGACAAGACUGCCGAUGAACCGACCAGGAGAUCUUGCACAGUAAGAUAUCUUCAAAAUUAUGACCGCUUGGUGUCAAAUCACCUGCGCAAUCCCUUGAUUAUCGUGCGAACAGUUACCAUAUCCACCUGAAUACCCUCAGAUUUCACGGAUGCGACAAAGAGAUAAGUCAGAUUUGCCCCUGCCCUCCUUGUCCUAUAAAUACUUCCUUCUCCGGUACUCUUCUUCCAUCCUGUCAUUCUACAGCCUCAUACCCACCUUUCUGGCGGCGGCACUGCUCAAGAACUUCAAGAACUCCGCUCGAGGAUCUCCCUCGACAACCUUCCGAGUCUUUGAGUUCUUUCUCUUUCUGAGAGAAAAUGGCCAUCAACUUUGUCAUCCCUGAGGUUAACUUAAUCACCCCCUUUCUCCUUUAUACUUUUAUUGUACUCCUGUUCAUCUGCGAAUCUAUUUACUGAGUACAUUUUCUUCUUAUUUUUUUGCCCCUUUGAUCUCCAAACCCUUUAGGAACUGGCCGAUAAAAUCGUGAUCCCUACCGAUCAACCUCACUUUCAGUGUCUUGGCCCGUUGGGAAAUCCAGAUCCCACCGAUCUGAUAAACUCAGAGACAAAUAGGAUCCCAUUUAGAGCCGAGAACUUUUCUUUAGACCUAUGGAGAGAUACUUUUAGCUCCUGGCCCAGUUCUACCAAGGGUUGGAAAGAUUGGUUCCUAAGAAUCGGCAACUCGAACGAAGUCCGAUGGGGUGAGCGAAAAUUAGACCAAUGCAUUAGGUUAUCCAUUGCCGAUAUGGAGAGGAAUGAAUCCCUGUUGAUAGCUGCUUCAUACUUCUGGUCUGACACCCUCAAUGCUUUUGUAUUCGGCCAUGGUCCUGCCUCCCCUACUUUAGACGAUGUGCUGAUGCUUACUGGUUUGGACAUAUCAUCUGCUGAUGAUAACCAUCUUUAUGACUCCAAACCCGAGCGCAAAGUAAAAACCCGCAACAUAGGCGGUUGGGCGGGAUACAUCCAGAAGUAUCAAAAAACAGGGCCAGUCGGUCAGAGGGAACAUGCUAUUUUUCUGAACAUGUGGUUAGAUAAGUUCGUCUUCUGUGGCCGAUCGGCAGGGCCAACCUCUGUCUAUCUAUCGGCAGCAGAAAGACUGGCCGAUGGCGGCCGAUUUCCUCUUGGCCGAUAUUUGCUUGGCUCUGUCUAUCACCUUCUCCACCAGGUAGCUGAGAAACUCCUGCUAGGCUAACCCAUCGGCAACUUAGGGGGACCUUGGUGGUUCAUCAAUAUGUGGCUCAGUGUUCACAUGCAUAAGCACCUUGGAAUCGAUCUUUUUGCACAGCGCUUUCCCAGAGACAUAGCCGAAGAUUAUGAACUGGACGAGAAAGAAUUAGCAACCCGCUCCCCCUUGAACUAUGGUGAGGCCACCAUAGUCUUACCUGGUACCGGUGGCAAUGAAGACCAGGUCAGCCGAUUCUUCCAAACUCUCUAUGAGGGCCUGACCAAAGACCAGCGAGCAUGGAUGCCUUAUGAGGACACAGAAACCAGAUUCCCACUCACUUUCCACCCCUUUGAUAAUGCCCUCAACAAGGAUCACGACCAGAUGAUGGCAAUUAUCACUCCGAGAGCCAUACCAGUGAACUUCUUUGGCAGUGGGAAAACCUCCAGCAUCACCUACGAGUUCUACAAUCCAUCGGCACUGGCUCGUCAACUGGCCUUUGGACAGCUGCCGAUUGCACUCUGCUAUGCCGAUGUGGUAAAGCCAAGGGAGAUCAUAACCAGCGGUCUUGAAUGGAUCAGAGUAGCUCAGCUUCCACCAAAUGCUGAUACGUCACACACUGAUCUAUCAUCCUGGAUCCCAGUUCUCUUCAUUACUCAAGCAUACAAGCAAUGGUGGGAGGAGUGGAAAGAGCAUCUGUUUUGCGUAUCGGCUCUCAGAUACCGCGGUAUGAUCGACCCCAAGUAUAAAGUUCCUGAAAACACUAUAAGUCCGCAACCGAUGCUUUAAUAUUUUUAUUACUUUUAUCCUUAUCGGUAACUUACUUCCUCCCUUUUAAACAGGUCGACCAUACACCACCAACAAUGAGCAGGAACGGCAAGCCGAUCGAGCUCCUUCCAUCAGGCCCGAUUUCUCUCAUCGGCAACAGCGCACCAACUUUGGUAGCUCUAAUGCAUCGGAACGUGCGUUUUAAGAAGAUCACCACCAGACGAGCAAAGACAUCUCCAUCGGUUGCUGCUACUGCUUUGGCACAAGCUUUCAAGGUAAAUCCCUGACUUCUUCAAUUUAUACCGAUUCCAUUUUAUACUUACACAGUUUUUUCAGGAUACAUCGGCUACUAUGGGAACUUCAUCGGUAACUUUUACUGUUUCAACCAAAAUUUCAUCAAUACUCUGCUACAUUCGUACUUAUGAAAUUUUUGUUGUUGCAUCAGCAAACUGGCAAAUCGGCAAAGUCCAGAAGUACCAAGACAAGUGCCGAUGCCCCCCAGUCUAGCCAAGUCAAGAGAAAAGGCCCCAAAAGCACCAAGUCACAAGUAAAACGUCAGAGGACAGCACCACCUUCUUCUCCUCCUCCGGUAUCACCGAUUCGUGUGGAAUCGUCCCAUUCCUCACCAGAGAUCCAGACACAACAAGUACCAUCUCCACCUCAGCCACAAGAAGCACCUCAACUAGAAGAGACAUCAGCCGAUGUGCCUGAGCAAACUGCCGAUCCAGUGAGUCCAAUCAUGCCAUCGGUGGUCCCUCCAGAACAGACAAGCAUUGUACCCCCUCAAGGUAAAGUACCAUUCACAAGAUCACCACCGAUGGAUUUACUCCUUCAAAUUAUAAGCAACUUUAUUAUCCUUUCAGUUGACAUUGUUCCAUCAGCAACUUCAGCCGAUCAACCUAUGGUACCAUCAGCAUUAACUAGCCAGAGGCGAGAAAUAGCUCUGAAACAAGUAAGUUAUUUGAUUCUUAUACUUUGUCACUAAUAUUUCGUCAUCAAAUAACUUAUCUUUUUUUCUUUUCAGGAACAAGACUCUCCCGACAGCCUGUUUUCCUUUGCCAUCGAAAUUUCCGAUGAUGAAGGCGAGGAAGCAAGCUCUUCUCAAGCAAUAGGGAUUUCAUCAGCAGAAAUCAGAGCAAAGCUAGAAGAUCUGCUGGCUCUGCUUCAUCAGGACACUACUCAAUUAGUCGAUGACUCUGACCCAGCCAAAGCUCUGUUCAAAGCUCUCAGGGGUCAAAUUCCUGCCGAUGCCGAAGAGAUCCUUUUCCAGGCUGCACACUUGGAGAGCCACCAGCUCCAGUACCAAAAGGCCACCCAAUGCCUUGCCGAUUAGAGGAAGUAAUGUAAGUGAAACGUCUUGCUGAUGAGAAGCACAAGAGCAUCGGCAUCUUACAGUCCUUAGGAGAGACAUUAAGGCAGAAAAUCUCCGAUCUGUCGGCAAAAAGGGAAGCCCUGCUGGCAGAGCUCAAGCAAGUAGAAGAAGUCCUCUCUCAAGCUCAGCAAGAAGAAAGUCAACUACCUGAAAUGAUCAAGACCCUCUAGCAAGAAUGAAACAUUCAAGCCCGCAAAGCACUGUAGAUGAAGAAAAAGUUGAAGCCAGUGGAGGGCUCUGCCGAUGAGGACAUCUGGGAGAUAGAAGAAGCCGAUCAAAUCCAUCUGCGCGCCAUAUCGGCUAUCCAAACCUUGCGGAGUAUAUGAGCUCUCCAUCGGCGGCAUGUCUUGUUCUUCCUUUUAGAAACUGCUAACUAUUUUGGUCUAGCCGAUAGGAUUGUUAUCGGCAUCUCUCAAAACAUCAUACUCAGUCCCAGAUACCUCUUAAUCCAGCCGAUAGGAGUGUUAUCAGCACUUUAAACUUUCAUGCAUCGACCCAUAUGCUUGGGUAAUACUUCUUUAAAUAUUUUCCAUUCAAUGCUCUGGGAAAUUCAACUCCUUCGAGAGUCUCCAAAAUAUAAGCAUUACCAGGAGCAGACUGAUUUAUCCGAUAAGGAACUUCCCAAAUUUUAAACUUUUAGUCCCAAUCGGUAAGAUCAGUUUCCAUACCAGAUCUCCAUCGGCAAACUCCUUAGAUUUUACUCUUCUAUCAUACCACCUAGCAACUCUCUUUUUAUUUUCUUCUAUACUUAUCAAAGCCCUCAGCCGAUGCCCUGCUAAAUCGUCUAAUUCAUCUUUCAUCAAAGUAGCAUAGUCAUCGGCAGCCAACUGGUCUUGAAAACAUAAUCAGCUAGAUCCAGUCUUAAUUUCCCAUGUUAGCACCGCAUCAUGUCCAUACACCAACUGAUAAGGUGAAACUUUAGUCGACCCAUGACAUACCAUCCGAUAUGACCAUAAAGCUUCACCCAACAAUGCAUGCCACCUUCUAGGAUUUUUCUCAAUCUUUUGUUUGAUGAGUUUAAUAAUUCCUUUGUUAGAUGCCUCGGCCGGUCCAUUGGCUUGAGCAUAAUAAGGGGAAGAAUUCAACACUUUAAUCCCCAUACCGAUUGCAAAUUCAUCAAACUCCCUGAUGUAAACAUGGUACCUUGAUCGGUAGUAAUUGUUUGAGGAAUACCAAAUCGGUAAACAAUAUGCUCUUUCACAAAAUCAAUCAUAUUGGUUGUUGACGGUUCUUAAGUAUCAAUUUUAAUUAUCAAAUAAACAAGAGAAAGGACCAAUAUACAAACAACACCUAGAAUUAGGGUUUGAUCUGGCAGAAUUCCACGAGUUUUGUUGUUUAUCUGUUUCUGCAGGGGGUUAUCAGGAAAUAAGGAAGAAAGGCCCACACGUCGGGAUUACAUAGAGAUAUCAACGCACCGCGCAAUUUUCUACCAUCUAGAAGACUCCAGAAGCCACAAGAACGAAGCAGAGGCUGAAAGGGGCCAGGCCCAGGGCGCCCGCCCUGAGGACCUGGGCGCCCGCCCCCCUCUGUACUCUAAUCGGGACUCUUUUCGCACACGACGCUCCACCAACCUAAAGGAUCAAGGAUAACCGUCCAAUCAAUGUUGGUUUGAUCUAAUGGCUCACGUUCACUUGAGGGGACUAUAAAACCAGACCCCCUAGCCCCUGGAGGAGACAAGUUUAUCAUAGAGUUGAGGGGAGCCCUCGAAGGAAAACCUCUUCUCUAAAUAAAAUUUCUUUUUAGGCUUAGCAACCAAUGUGAGUAGAAAUAGAUCUUCUAGUUUCUACUAGAUUGAGAGAGAUAGAGUGGAGGUGUAGAUCGGAGGAAGCCUGGCCUGUCGGUGUCUACUCUGAGCUUGUACCUGCGGGAUCAAGUUCUCCUAACCCGAGGCUUGCUCCUAGGAUUCUUCAGUAUUUCGACUUCUAUAUUCUAGUAAGUUCUUGUUUUAUUGUUCUUUUGGUUUAUGAGUUUACUUUAAUCUCUUCGCGUAGAGUUUAGAGUAAUCAUCUCUAGCGUAGACGUGGUGUUUAAGCUAGGAUACUCAUAGAUAUUCCUGCACUAGCUAGACCGUGGUAGUAGCGAGGAACGUGACAUUUCUGAGUUACCUUUGCAAACAAUAUCUCGUUAGCAGGAAGGAUAGGGUUUAUAGGUGCGGGUUGAACAUCCUUUGUGGUGUCUAGAUUCCGUUAGCCUCCCUAAUAGAACAGUAGAUGAUCCUUACCAAGGUUAGAAGAAGAUUACGGUGGUAGUCUUCUCUAUUUAUCACUCACAUCGAUAAACAUUCUUUGUUGCCUAAAGGGUUAGUAGUAAUAGACCGGGGUUAGUCAGAUGCACUCUUUCUUCUAGUGGUAAAAAAAUAAAUACGAUACUCCGGAUAACCUCCCAGGUGAAGUGCUCACCGAUAUCCGUGCGCUUGCGGAUCAUUUCCUUAUUGCGUUCCCAAAUAUCAACAAGCAUUUCUGGCGCCGUUGCUGUGGAGAAAGAUGGUUUGCUGAGAUAAACUUGAGUCUUACUACUAGCUUGUAUCUAUACUUUUAUCUUUUCUUAUCUUUUAUAUUCUGUAUUUAUUUUCUUUACUCUUACCUUAUGGAAAACCAAGAUUCUAAAUCAAUCUACCAAUUUGCAACACCUUUGGAAUCUGACCUUUUACCAUGGGAAUCAUCACAGCCUAUCCAAACAUCCCAGUAUAGGUUAAGUUCUAGGUUGAUUGCCAUGAUUCAAAACCUAUCUUUUUCGGGAAAGGAAGACGAAAACCCUUACCUUCAUAUUAGAGAUUUUGAGCAAACAUGUGAUUGUCUUCGCAUUGAAGGCAUUUCUGAUAAAACAUUACGUUGGAAGCUUUUUCCUUUUUCCUUAAGGGGAGAAGCUAGACAAUGGUACAGUUAGAAGGUAAGUCAACAACGAGGUGAAUGGGGAGUUUUACGAGCCAACUUUUGUCUAGAUUUUUAUUCCCUCGACCGUAUCGGCGACCUUAGACUCGAAGUUCUAUCUUUUAAACAAAAAGAUAACGAAACUUUGGGAAAAUCCUAGAAACAUUUUUCUCAUCUUUUAGAAUCUGGUCCAAACCUUAAUCUUGAAGACCCUGUUCUUUUAUUUCACUUUUUUUGAGGUCUUCUAAAAAAUCACAAACAAAUGCUACACAUAAUGUCUAGAGGUUCUUUCUUUCGCAUCCCUACUGAUGAAGCUAGAGUGAUCCUAGAUAGAAUCCUAGAAGCUGAGAUGGAUAAUACCCUUCAUGAUGAAACCUACGAAGCCGAAGUAGACACUCUACCAAAUUCUUCAUCUACUUUAGCUAUCCCAGGUUCUGAGCCACAAGAGGAAGAAAUUCCACCACCGGACUUCAUGCUGGAUAUAGAAUCCGAUCUUUUUGCCGAUUUUGGAAACAUUUCAAACUACCAUUCUAUUGACAAACCCCAAAACGGCCAGUUUAGCAUUUAUUUGCCAAGUGAAUAUCAAUUGAGAGAGAUUAUCUCAGUCAUGAGUAGCGAGUGGUUGGAGGAAUCAGAGCUUUCCUCUGAUGUGAUCCGUUUGGACACACCCUCUAUAACUAUAUGCUGUGCUUAUAAUUCUGAUCGAUUUAAUGCUCUUUAUAAUUCUGUUGUGGGGAUCAACAUCAUGUCUGAAUCUUUUGCACUUAAACUAUUUAAAAAUCUUGUCUUAACCCCCACAACAAAGGUCAUAAAGGAAUCUUCGGGACGAUUAGUCCCCAGUCUUGGAAUUAUUAAUGUCCUACCUCUUACGGUAGAAGGCUCCAUGGUUCAUUUGAACUUCUAUAUCUUUGAUACAUGGGACUUCAACCUGUUGAUAGGACAACCUUUUAGAAGACUCCUUUAUGAAGGUCAUACUGGAAAGCUACACAUUUCUUUUGGAAAAGGUUUUAAAAUCCCAAUAACAAUUGCACACUCUUUGAAUAAUAAGGCCGAGUCAUAUCUUUUUCCUGAUCCUAUGGAGGAGGUAAAGGCUACAUCUCUUGAACUUUUAGAAGAAUCACACUUAGAAGACGAAACUCCUUUCUUCAUAGAAGAAGAAGCCGAACCUUAUGAACCUGAACCCUUAGAUGAGUUUGCAGAAACACCUAGACACCCCAUAGAGCUUAAAACUUUACCACCCAGUCUUAUCUAUGCUUUCCUAAACAAUAAUCUAGAAUUUCCUGUGAUCAUUAGCGAUAAACUCACUCAGGACCAAACUCUGCGAUUAAUGGCCAUUCUUGAGAAACAUCACUUAGUUUUCGGCUACUCACUCCAAGAUCUUACAGGAAUCAGUCCUAUGAUUUGUACCCAUCGUAUUCCAACAGAUCCUUCUGUUUCACCUUCUCGAGAACCCCAACGUAGACUUAACAACACUAUGAGAGAGGUAGUUAAAAAGGAAGUUAUAAAGUUGCUGCAUGCAGGGAUCAUAUAUCCUAUGCCGCAUAGUGAGUGGGUGAGCCCAGUACAAGUUGUGCCUAAAAAGGGAGGCAUGACUGUUAUUAUGAAUGAAAAGAACGAGCUAAUUCCACAACGCACCGUCACAGGAUGGCGGAUGUGCAUAGACUAUAGAAAACUAAACAAAGCCACAAGAAAGGAUCACUUUCCUUUACCUUUCAUAGAUGAGAUGCUAGGGCGAUUAGCGAACCAUUCGUUCUUCUGUUUCUUAGAUGGAUAUUCAGGGUAUCAUCAGAUCCCGAGCCAUCCCGAUGAUCAAAGCAAAACCACUUUUACAUACCCAUAUGGAACUUAUGCUUACCGUAGAAUGUCUUUUGGGUUAUGUAAUGCACCAGCUUCUUUUCAAAGAUGCAUGAUGUCUAUAUUUUCUGAUAUGAUUGAAGAGAUUAUGGAAGUUUUCAUGGAUGAUUUCUCUGUUUAUGGAAAAUCUUUUGGUAGUUGUCUUGAAAACUUAGACAAGGUUUUGCAAAGAUGUGAAGAAAAGCACUUAGUCCUUAAUUGGGAAAAAUGUCAUUUCAUGGUUAGGGAAGGAAUAGUGCUGGGACACCUAGUGUCUGAAAGAGGUAUUGAGGUAGACAAAGCUAAAAUUUAAGUAACUGAACAACUACCUCCACCUGUGAAUAUAAAAGGAAUUGGAAGCUCUCUUGGCCAUGCUGGUUUUUAUCAUAGAUUCAUAAAAGAUUUUUCAUUCAUUGCUAGACCACUUACCCUUUUGCUAGCCAAGGAUGCUCCUUUUGAAUUUGAUGACGCAUGUCUAACAUCUUUUAAUUUAUUAAAGAAAGCACUCACCUCUGCACCAAUCAUUCAACCCCCUGAUUGGCCAUUGCCUUUUGAAAUUUAUGUGUGAUGCUAGUGAUUAUGCUGUGGGGGCAGUAUUGGGACAAACUAAAAAUAAGAAGCAUUAUGCAAUUGCUUAUGCCAGUAAAACUUUGACAGGAGCUCAACUUAACUAUGCAACCACUGAAAAAGAGCUUCUGGCUGUUGUCUUUGCCAUUGAUAAAUUUAGAUCUUAUUUAGUUGGAGCUAAAAUAAUUGUUUACACUGAUCAUGCUGCACUAAAAUAUUUGCUCACUAAAAAAGAUUCUAAACCUCGCCUGAUUAGAUGGAUCUUAUUACUCCAAGAAUUUGACUUAGAAAUAAAAGAUAAAAAGGGAGUAGAAAAUUUCUUUGCAGAUCACUUGUCUAGAAUGUAUUUUAAGAGUCCACAGGAAACCCCCAUCAAUGAUUCACUCCGGGACGACAUGCUCUACGGGAUUAACAGGUCUGACCCCUGGUAUGUAGAUAUUGUUAAUUUUAUGGUUUCAGGGUAUGUACCGCCAGGAGCAAACAAGAAGAAGCUUUUUCAAGAAAGUAGUUCACAUAUAUGGGAUGAGCCAUACCUCUUCCGAGUAUGCUCUGAUGGCUUACUCAGGAGAUGUGUCGCCACUGAGGAAGGAUGGAAGAUCAUCGAUAGAUGUCAUUCAUCACCAUAUGGAGGUCACUAUGGAGCAUUCCCUACACAUUCAAAGAUCUGGCAGUGUGGAUUCUACUAGCCUACAAUGUAUGAAGACACGAAGCAAUAUAUCAGAAGAUGUGGGCCAUGUCAAAGGCAUGGAAACAUAAAUACAAGGGAUGCAAUGCCACUCACCAACAACCUUCAGAUUGAGCUCUUUGAUGUCUGGGGAAUAGACUAUAUGGGUCCAUUUCCUCCAUCAAAGAAAUGUGAGUACAUCUUGGUGGCAGUUGACUACGUCUCCAAGUGGGUAGAGGCAUUACCUUGCAUGCAUGCCGACAACAUCAGUUCAAAGAGGAUGUUUGAAGAAAUUAUAUUUCCAAGAUUUGGAGUCCCCAGAGUAGUGAUAAGUAAUGGAGGAGCACACUUCAUCGAUAAACGCUUCUAGCAAUAUCUAUCAAAACAUGGAAUCCAUCACAACGUCGCUACUCCCUAUCAUCCUCAGACAAGUGGCCACGCAGAGACUUCCAAUAAGCAAAUCAAGAAUAUUCUUCAGAAGACAUUAAAUGAAAUGGGGAUGGCGUGGAAAGACAAGUUACCCGAUGCACUCUGGGCAUACCGGACAGCAUACAAGACCCCAAUUGGAAUGUCUCCAUACCAAUUGGUGUACGGGAAGACUUGCAACCUACCUGUUGAACUAGAGUUCAAAGCACACUAGGCCAUAAAGAGAUGGAAUAUGGACCUAGAUGUUGCUGGAGAUCAUAGAAGAAUGCAACUAUCAGAAUUGGAAGAAUGGCGAGAGAAAGCAUAUCACAAUUCGAAGAUCUACAAAGAAAGAGUCAAAAGGUGGCAUGACAAGAGAAUCAAGAAGAAGGAGUUCACACCCGAAGAUAAGGUAUUACUUUUUAAUUCUAGGGUGAAGCUUUUCGGGCAUGGAAAACUCCAGAGUAAAUGGGAAGGACCAUUCAAGGUAAUUAAUUCAUCAUCCCACGGAGCUAUCACACUUCAAAAUGACGAAGGUACGUUAUUCAAGGUAAAUGGUCAACGUCUUAAAUUGUUUUUAGAGCCCGACCUUUUUAGUCUGACGUUUUCGGGUGAUACAUAUAUUUUCCUAAAUAGUUUUGCAUCUAGAAACACGCUCGAGGAAGCGGACCCACAGAGGAGACAGAGAGAGGGCGGGCGCCCAGAUCAGGUGGGCGGGUGCCCAGCUCCUGUGCCCCCCUCGGUCCCGAUUUUCUCUAUUAUGGAAAAUGCACUUAUGGUAGUCUGAAUAAUCCCUCAGAUGGAAAGUUUCGCACACACAUCGACGGGAGCAACCUGAACAACCCCUAGAGGCACUUUUUGACCCCUAUAUAAAUAGACCCCUGACAUCAGUUUUCAAACACCGAACCACCAAGCCUUCUCUUCUUCUUCAAUUAGAGCUCGAUUAGUCCCUUCCUGCUUCAAUGGCUGAGAAGUUCCACGAUGAUUGGGAAGUCGUCCCCUUCAACCUCAACAUGGAGCCGGUGGAAGACCCCGAUGCCCGUGCUCUCGUCCCGGCCAACACAGAGCGACAGCUAGAAGCCAUGCCAUUACGCCAACGCAGCUCCGCCCAAUCCAACCAUGCUCAACCAGUUCUCACCACACCGCCACAACCCCUACUCCUUAAGGGAUCAUCAUCCAAGACGAAGACCACCAUCAAGGUGCCAACCGACACAAGGAUCCUUCCACCUAGACCCAAUGAGAGGGUCGUUGGAGUCAAGACCAACCGGAGCGGCGAGAUCAGCAGCAUACGCUACACUACGGAGGAGGAAAGGCCUUAUUUCGAAGGGAUUAGAGCAGCCAAAGUCUGUUUCAUCCCUCCAAAGGCAGCCCCGAAGCACGCUCUCAAUGCUUUUGAGACACCUCCCAAGCGUCGUAAGACUAUAGUAGAUAUUGAUGAGAACGUUCGCAGGCUAGACAGAGUUAUCAUAGAUUAGACCUUGAGGCAGCUCUCCAGUCCUCGAUUAAUUCCCUCACUAGGCAGCUCUCUAACCACAACACCGUUAUACUAGGCCUUAGGCAAGAUCUUGCCAGUGCCAAUAAGAAGAUUAAGGAAUUAGAGCGCCGCUAAGUUAUCUAGAUUAGACCUUGAGGCAAUGCAUCUUAGUCAUUUAUCUUUAAAUUCAGUUUAGGUUUACUAUUAUCGUCAGUUUGCUACUAGUCAGUUGUAAUAAAUGCCUCAAGAUUAAUAAAGAGUAUUAUUAUUAUUAUGUCUUGUGUGUCUCUACUUUAUUUUUGUGCAAGAAAGCAGAAAACAAGUAUGGGGGAGAUCCCUCGACACGCCAAACACACUUCGACUACACCACUCCACAAUUUAGGUACAAACUCUGCACACUUUACUUUACAUAUACACAUAUCUUGGAUUAUGCAGAAUAUUGUUUCCGAUAUGAUAAAGAUUAAAAUGUUUCUAAUCAUGAUUAAUCACUCUGUGAUAUUUCCUGAAAAAUUGCAACUAUUAUAAAAUCAUUUUAAAACCCUGUGUUACUUAAGUCAGUAUGGAAUGUGAGAUGGUAGAGUAUGAGUUUCUUAUUCUUGAUAUCAUUGUUGCUUGGAGAAUUUAUUUGAAAAUCUUCAAUAUUCUAGCUACCAUCCUCAGUGUUUUAUAUGCCUGAUAAAAACUGAAAAUAUUAAUUAUGAUUAUAAAAGCUAUCUACUCUGUAUUGAGUUUGUUCAAAAUGAGUUAGACCCUUGUUGAGAGAUUUAUCAUGCUCCUAAGAUCAAGACAUUUAUUCAGAAAGAUUCACUCUUCCGAAGUAUUAUUGCAUUAGAGGCAUGGGCUAUGCAAAAAAAAAGAUAUUUCGAGGAAAUAAAAAGGAGCAAGUGCUCGAUAACCUCGCAGAAAAAAUGGACAAGCGUCCAGCAGUAGAAUUAGGGGUACCUCGGUAUCCACUUAAAAAAAAAGAAGAAAAAGAAAAUGAUAGCCCAUUGUCCCUCUAAUAAGCAAUAUGCCAGCAAGAGUUGACAAAUAUUUUAAUUUUCAAAGUCUUUGAUCUAAGAGUAUGACAUUCCCCUCCUCGGAUCCCGUUUUGAUCAGGCAAUAAAUACAAGGUAAGUAUGCUUGAGAAUUUUUGCAAAUUAAAACAGCCUCAAUGAGAUGUAUAAAAGAUAAUGUGUAAUCUGAGAAGACCUAUGAGGAUAAAAGGUAUGCUAACUUUCUUUCAAAAAUAUACAAAAACUCGAAGUGACAGGAUUGAGCAGAAAGGAUCUCAACUCUUAACCAUAUACUUCCGUGACUUUAAAAAUGUUUUACCCCAGAUAUUGUUCUUAACCAUCCUUUUCUCGAGGACGAGUAAAAGCCUAAGUAUGGGGGUAUUUGUUGACGGUUCUUAAGUAUCAAUUUUAAUUAUCAAAUAAACAAGAGAAAGGACCAAUAUACAAACAACACCUAGAAUUAGGGCUUGACCUGGUAGAAUUCCACAAGUUUUGUUGUUUAUCUGUUUCUGCAGGGGGUUAUCAGGAAAUAAGGAAGAAAGGCCCACAUGUCGGGAUUACAUAGAGAUAUCAACGCACCGCGCAAUUUUCUACCAUCUAGAAGACCCCAGAAGCCACGAGAACGAAGCAGAGGCCGAAACGGGCCAGGACCAGGGCGCCCGCCCUGAGGACCUAGGCGCACGCCCCCCUCUGUACUCCAAUCGGGACUCUUUUCGCACACGACGCUCCACCGACCUAAAGGAUCAAGGAUAACCAUCCAAUCAAUGUCAGUUUGAUCCAAUGACUCACGUUCACUAGAGGGGACUAUAAAACCAGACCCCCGGGCCCCUAGAGGUGACAAGUUUAUCAUAGAGUUGAGGGGAGCCCUCGAAGGAAAACCUCUUCUCUAAAUAAAAUUUCUUUUUAGGCUUAGUAACCAAUGUGAGUAGAAAUAGAUCUUCUAGUUUCUACUAGAUUGAGAGAGAUAGAGUGGAGGUGUAGAUCGGAGGAAGCCCGGCCUGUCGGUGUCUACUCUAAGCUUGUACCAGCGGGAUCAAGUUCUCCUAGCCCGAGGCUUGCUCCUAGGAUUCUUCAGUAUUUCGACUUCUAAAUUCUAGUAAGUUCUUGUUUUAUUGUUCUUUUGGUUUAUGAGUUUACUUUAAUCUCUUCGCGUAGAGUUUAGAGUAAUCAUCUCUAGCGUAGACAUGGUGUUUAAGCUAGGAUACUCAUAGAUAUUCCCUGACUAGCUAGACCGUGGUAGUAGCGAGGAACGUGACAUUUCCAAGUUACCUUUGCAAACCAUAUCUCGUUAGCAGGAACGAUAGGGUUUAUAGGUGUUGAUGCAAAAGCUGAUCUGCAAACACAAAGGUCUAAUACCCGAUUUAAACGUUAAGGCGUGCCAGCCGAUUUGACCUUACUAUUGGCAAGGAUGAUAACUCGAAUACUUUGGUCCUGACAACAGCGAUGCGCCCGGAUGCCACGGCCAAGAGGUAUUCAUGCGGAACUUGAGAAUACGCCGAGCUUAAGUCGAAGAACUCCUAAGAACUCGUAGUAAAAGGAAAAAAGUAUGACGAAGUGGUCGAAAAAGUAGGUGCUUGGAAUAUGAGAAAAACGUGUGUUUGAUUGAUUGAUUCUUAAAUUACAAAGCCCUAGGGUAUACAUUUAUACCCUGCUCUGAGAGCUACAACCAGACACGACUAGAAUUCGAAUUCCAAAUUUGGACAGAAUCCGUGUACAAAAUGAUUUAAACAACUAAGGAAAACACAAAACUAUCUUGCCGUGACAGGCUAGAACACCACUACGGACCACUUGGUAACCUCCAAGUCUUCCUUCUACGCCAUCGGUAGACCCCUCAUCGGCAACGAUCAAUACUAGCCAUCGGCAUGAGCACAUCACCACCCAUGGACUUAGCCACAUCCAGCUAUCUCUUCAUCGGCAACCAUCCUCAUCGGCAACUCAUCUUGUAGACCAAGCCCUACCGUCUUGUCUUGCCAACCUGCAUUCUACCGAUCAUGGACACGUGCCCAAAAAUGGUGUCAACACAUGCCCCCCAAUUUCGGAGUAUGAAAUCAUUAAUGCUCCGGAAUUCUCCGCAGCAAUGAUGUCUUUCCGCAAUAAAUUCGCCCAAUUUGGUAACCGACAACCUCAAUCUGAACAACUCUGAUCCUAUUCCUCUACAGAUUCCUCGAAAUCCUCGAUCUCCCCAAACGGACAUUUCCACUUUAGUCGCGCAUCGGCAAUAUUACCGUUAGAGGGACUUGCCGAUGGACGUCCAUACCUUAUCCUGCCAAACGGCUAUCUCCACUUUAUUCGCCCAUCGGUAAUAUGACCGUUACAAGGCGCUGCCGAUGGACCAACCAGGAGAUCUCACACAGUGAAAUAUCUAUGGAUAAUGACCGCUUCCUGUCAAAUCGCCUGCACAAUCCCUUGAUUACCGUGCAAACAGUUACCAUAUCUACCUGAGUACCCUCGGAUUUCACGGAUACGGUGAGGAGAUAAGUCAGAUUUGCCCUUGCCUGUUUUGUCCUAUAAAUAGUUCCUUCUCGGGUACUCCUUCCCCAUCACAUCAUUCCACAACACCAACUCCACUUUCCCGGUGGCGGCACUGUUCGAGAGCUCCAAGAUCUCCGACGAAGUCCUUCUUCACCAACUCCGAAGCCCUCGAUCAUCCUCCUCGUGGCGAGAUGGCCAUCAACUUCUCCGUUCCUGAGAUCAGUUCUUCACUCCACUUUUUGUGCUUUUUCUCACAUCCCUGUUCAUCCGCAAUCUGUUUUACUGAACAUCUUCUUUUCUUUCUUUGUUUUUUUACCUUCAAAACCAUUAGAAUCUGUCCAACAAAAUCGUCAUCCCCACCGAUCAACCACACCUCCAAUGUCUUGGUCCAUUAGGGAAUCCAGAUCCAACCGACCUUAUUAACGCAGAAACCAACAGGAUCCCUUUUAGAGCUGAGAAUUUCUCUUUGGAUCUAUGGAAGGAUACCUUCCAUUCCUGGCCCAGUCCCACCGUGGGAUGGAAGGAUUGGUUCUUGAGGGUCAGCCACUCAAACGAAGUCCGAUGGGGCGAGAGAAAACUAGAUCAAUGCAUCAGGUUAUCUAUUGCCGAUAUGCAUAAGAAUGAAUCACUGCUGAUAGCUGCAUCAUACUUCUGGUCGGACAUGCUCAAUGCCUUCGUCUUUAGCCACGGCCCUGCUUCCCCUACACUUGCCGAUGUAGUUAUGCUCACUGGUCUAGAUAUAUCUUCUGCCGAUAGCACCCAUUUCUUUGACACCACGCCUAGUGCCAAGGUAGAAACCCGCUCCAUCGGCGGCUGGUCCGGGUAUAUUCAGAAGUACCGCAAAACGGGGUCCAUCGAUAUAAAGGAACAAACCACCUUUCUGAACAUGUGGCUGGACAAGUUCGUAUUCUGUAGCCGAUCGGCAGGCCCGACCUCCGUCUAUCUAUUGGCAGCAGAGAGACUGGCUAACGGUGGCCGAUUUCCCCUCGGCCGAUACCUGCUCGGUGCAGCCUAUCAUCUCCUUCACCAAGUGACCAGAAAACUCCUACUCGGCCAGCCCAUCAGCAACUUGGGAGGUCCCUGGUGGUUCAUCGACAUGUGGUUCAGCCUCCACAUGCACAAGCGUCUCGAGUUUGAUCUUUUUGCACAGCGUUUCCCAAGGGACAUAGCCGAGGACCAUGAACUGGAUGAAGAAGAAUUGGCAACACGUCGUCCCCUAAACUUAGGUGAGGCUGCCAUAGCUCUGCCUGGCACAGGAGGUAAUCCAGAUCAGGUCAGCCGAUUCUUCCAAACCUUGUACGAAGGCUUGACCAGAGAGGAGCGAGCAUGGUUGCCUUAUGAUGACCCAAACACCAUGUUUCCUCUGGUUUUCAAUCCGUUCAAUGACGCUCUCAACAAGGAUCAUGAAGUGAUGAUGGCACUGAUCACUCCCAGAGCUAUACCAGUGAAUUUCUUUGGCAGUGGAAAAACCUCCGUCUAGACCUAUAAGUUUUACAAUCCAUCGGCACUAGCUCGUCAAUUAGCUUUCGGCCAGCUGCCGAUUGCACUCUGUUAUGCCGAUGUGAUAAAACCCAGGGAAACCAUCACCAGCCUCCUUGAAUGGACCCGAGUAGCCCAACUGCCAUCAAGUGCCGAUACAGAUGCAGAUUUGUCAGAGUGGGUUCCAGCCGCCUUCAUCACUCAGGCGUACAAGCAAUGGUGGGCAGAAUGGAAAGAGCAUCUAUUCUGCAGAUCGGCUCUUACGUACCACGACAUGAUCGACCCUGAGUAUGAAGUUCCCGAUAAUACUGUAAGUAUCUUCAAACCGAUGUUUCAAUUUUCUCAAUUUUAUUUCCAUCGGUGAUUCACCUUUGUAUCAUCUUGCAGGUUGACAACACCCCUCCAUCGGUUAGCAGGAGUGGCAAGCCGAUUGACCUGUUUCCAUCAAGCCCAAUCUCUCCAAUCGGCAACAACGCUCCCACCCUAGCCGCCAUCAUGCAUCGAGGUGUUCGCCUCAAGAAAGUUACCACCAAAAGGACUCAGAUAUCCUCAUCGGUAGCUGCCUCUACCUUGGCACAGGCGUUCAAGGUAUACCUUCGAUUUUUAUACCGAUUUUAUUCUUAUAUUUGUCAAACUUGUAGUUACGAGCCUUUCUUUCUGUAUCAGCACUCCAGCGCAUCGGCAAGGACCAAAAGCAAAGGUGCCGAUGCCCCCCAGUCCAGCCAGUAGAAGAGAAAAGGUACCAAGAGUACCAGAGCACAGACAAAGCGCCAGAGAGUAGCAACUCCUCCUCCUCCGGUAUCUCCAAUCCCGGUGGAAUCCUCUCCUUCUUCUCCAGAAACACAGACACAGCAAGUACCAUCUCCCUCUCCAAUGCAAGAAGCACCACAAGUGGAAGAACCCCAACUAGAAGAACCUCAACCAGAAGUACCUCAGCCAGAAGAUACAUCGGCUGAUGUGCAUGAACAAACUACCGAUCCAGCGGGUUCCAUUAUAGCAUCGGUGGUCUCUUCCAUCCCAACAAGUACUGCUCCUCCUCAAGGUGACAAACUUUUAUAAGAUUACUGCCGAUGAACUUGUCUUUCCUGCCUCAUAACUUCUGUUAAUUUUUCAGCUGACAUAGUUCCAUCGGCAACUCUGGCCGAUCAACCCGUGGCCCCAUCGGCAUCUUCAAGUCAGAUGCGGGAGAUUGCCCUGAAACAAGUAAGUUAUCCAACCUCUGUUUGCAUCAUUUAUCAAUACCUGAUGAUAGAAUAACUCGUUUUAUUUCCUUUUUAGGAGCAGGACUCUCCCGACAGCUUGUUCUCUUUCACCAUCGUCAUCUCCGAAGACGAGGGUGAAGAAGCAAGCUCUUCUCGGGCAGUUGGGAUCACAUCAGCAGAAGUCAGGGCAAAGCUGGAAGAAUUAUCAGCUCUCCUCCACCAAGACACAGCCCAGCUAGUCGACGAUUUCGAUCCGGCCAAGGCUUUAUUCAAGACCCUGAGAGGCCAAAUCCCCACCGAUGCCGAAGAAGUUCUCUUUCAAGCAGCACACCUGGAGAGCCGUCAACUGCAGUGCCAGAGAGCUGCCCGGUGCCUUGCCGAUAGAGCCGCUCAGACUCGUCUUUCCGAGGAGAUGAUGAAAGAAAAGCUCCUGACCGAUGAGAAGCACAAGAACAUCGGCACCUUGAAGUCCUCAGGAGACGCACUGAAGCAGAAGAUCUCUGAUCUGUCGGCAAAAAGAGAAGCCCUGUUGGCAGAACUCAAGCAAGUGGAGGAUGCCCUAUCCCAAGCCCAACAGGAAGAGAGUCAACUGCCAGAGACCAUCAGGCUCUUCGAGCAAGAGCGAAAUGCCCAUGGUCACAAAGCACUGCAGUUGAAGAAGAAGUUGAAGCCGAUAGAAGGUUCUGCCGAUGAAGACGUCAAAGAGAUAGAAGCAGCCAACCAAAUCCGCCUACGUGCCAUAUCGGCUAUCCAAGCGCUGCUAACCAUGUGAGCUCUUCAUCGGCAAAAUACCCGCUUCUUCCUGCUUUCCAGCGUUCUUGAUGUUUAGUCUAGCCGAUAGGACUGUUAUCGGCAUCUUUUGAAACAUUAAGUCUGGCCACAUUUUAAUCCAGCCGAUAGGAGUGUUAUCGGCAUUUAAACUUUUAUGCAUUGACCCAUAUGCUGGGGUAGUACUUCUUUAGAUAUUUGCCAUUUAAUGCUCUGGGAAAUUCAACCCCUUCAAGAGUUUCUAAAAUGUAGGCAUUACCAGGAGCCGAUUGACUUAUCCGAUAGGGACCCUCCCAAUUGGGAGACCACUUCCCAAACUUUGAACUUUUAGUCCUGAUCGGUAAAAUUAAUUUCCAUACUAAGUCUCCAUCGGCAAACUCCUUAGCUUUUACCUUCUUAUCAUACCAUCUGGCAACUCUUUUCUUAUUCUCUUCUAUACUCAUCAAAGCCCUCAGCCGAUGCCCUGCUAGAUCAUCCAACUCGUCUGUCAUCAAAGUAGCAUAAUCAUCGGCAGCCAACUGAUCUUGAAAAGAUAAUCGCCUAGACCCAGCCUUAAUCUCCCAAGGUAACACUGCAUCAUGCCCAUACACCAACUGAUAGGGUGAAACCUUGGUCGAUCCAUGACAAGCCAUCCGGUAUGACCAUAAAGCUUCAUUUAACAACGUGUGCCACAUUAUAGGAUUUUCUUCAAUCUUCUGUUUAAUAAGCUUAAUAAUUCCUUUGUUAGAUGCCUCGGCCUGCCCAUUAGCUUGAGCAUAGUAAGGAGAAGAGUUCAACACUUUAAUUCUCAUACCGAUUGCGAAUUCAUCAAACUCCCCCGAUGUGAACAUAGUACCCUGAUCGGUAGUAAUUGUUUGAGGGAUCCCAAAUCGGUAAAUAAUGUGCUCUUUCACAAAAUCAAUCAUGUUAGCCGAGGUAACUUUCUUCAAAGGAAUAGCCUCAACCCAUUUGGUGAAAUAAUCGGUGGCAACCAAGAUAAACUUAUGCCCUUUGCUACAUGGCGGAUAAAUCUGACCGAUUAAGUCAAUAGCCCAUCCUCGGAACGGCCAAGGUUUGAUAAUGGGAUUCAUGGCCGAUGCGGGUGCUCUUUGAACGUUACCAAAUUUCUGACAUCCUUGACAUCCCUUGAAAUAUUUAAAGCAAUCUUCAAGUAUGGUCGACCAAUAAUACCCGUUCUUCCUAAUCAUCCACUUCAUCUUGAAAGCUGACUGAUGUGCUCCACAUACCCCUUCAUGGAUUUCUCCCAUCAAACUCCUUGCUUCAUCAUCACCUAAGCAUCGGAGAAGAAUCCCAUCAAUAGUUCGAUAAUACAAUUCAUCUUCGAGGAGCACAUACUUGGUUGCUUGAAACCGAACUCGUCUUUCGACUUUCUUAGAUGGAUCUUUCAAAUAAUCAGCAAUUUCCUUUCUCCAAUCAUCGGCACCAAUUGCCGAUAUCGCAUUAAUCAUAGGCUGAUAUCCCGAAGCAUGCUGAGCCAACCGAUUGGCCUCUUCAUUAUGCAAUCGAGGAACAUACUCUAAUCAGAAAUCCUUGAAUUCCUUUAACAAUUGCAUACUCCGCUCGUAAUAAGUUAUGAGAACUUCACUUCGGCAUUCAUAGUUUCCAGCCAAUUGAUUUAUAACCAGCAUAGAAUCCCCGAAGACCUCAACAGCAUUAGCAUGAACUUCCCUUAACAAUUCCAAUCCCUUUAUUAAAGCUUGAUACUCAGCCUGAUUAUUCGUGGACGUGGCAGCAAUCGGCAAGGAAAACUCAUACUUCCUUCCCCGAGGGGAAAUUAAUACUAUACCGAUUCCUGCCCCCCGGUCACAUGUGGAUCCAUCAAAGAACAGCGUCCAAGGUACAAUUUCCAAAGCCUCCACUACACCGCAAUGUUGAGUUACAAAAUCAGCCAUAAUCUGCCCUUUAACUGCCUUAGCCGAUUCAUAACGCAGAUCGAACUCUGACAGCGCCAAAAUCCAUUUACCGAUCCGGCCACUCAUAAUCGGCAUGGACAGCAUGUACCGGACCACAUCAUCCUUGCAAAUAACAGUGCAUUCGGCCGAUAACAAGUAAUGCCUUAACUUGAUACAAGAGAAAUACAAGCACAAGCAUAGUUUCUCAAUAGCCGAACACCUAGUCUCAUAUCAAUCAACCUCCUGCUUAAGUAAUAAAUUACACGCUCUUUCCCUUCAAAUUCUUGAAUUAAAGCCGAACCGAUGACCAUCCCCUCGGUAGAUAAAUACAAUCUAAAGGGCUUCCCUUACUGAGGUGGAAUUAGAACUGGAGGAUUCAUUAAAUAAUUCUUGAUUUCAUCCAGAGCCAACUGUUGUUCUUUCCCCCAAAUAAAUUCUUGAUCGGCUUUUAGCUUAAGAAGAGGACCGAAAGCACGAAUUUUACGAGAUAAAUUAGAUAUAAACCUCCUGAUAAAAUUUACCUUGCCGAUCAAGGACUGGAGCUCAGUCUUAUUGGUAGGGGCAACUAUUUUUUUGAUGGCUUCAAUAGAUCUUCGACUGAUUUCAAUCCCCCUUCGAUGCACCAUGAAACCAAGAAACUGCCCUGCCGAUACACCAAAUGCACACUUAUUGGGAUUCAUUUUCAAACUGUGCUUCCUUGUGCAUUCCAACACCUUUCGUAGAUCGGCAAGAUGCUUUGUGAAGUCCCCAGACUUAACCACCACAUCAUCAAUGUAAAUUUCCACCACCUUGCCGAUGAACUCAUGAAAUAUAAAAUUCAUGGCCCUUUGAUAAGUAGCACCAGCAUUCUUUAAGCCGAAGGUCAUAACUAUCCAUUCAAAUAAUCCAACAUGACCAGGACACCUGAAUACGGUCUUUGGAAUAUCUUCUUCAGCCAUGAAUAUUUGAUUAUAUCCUGCAUUGCCAUCCAUAAAGCUAAUAAUCCGAUGCCCAGCCGCAGUGUCAACUAGCAGAUCGGCAACUGGCAUUGGGUACCCAUCCAUCGGUGUAGCUUUGUUAAGAUUCCUGAAAUCAAUGCAGACCUGAAGCUUCCCGUUCUUCUUGUAAACCGAAACAACAUUGGAAAUCCACUCGGCAUACCGACACUGCCGAAUAAAUUUGGCUUCAAUAAGUUUAGUUAUUUCGGCCUUGAUGUCAGGAAGAAUAUUAGGAUUACAUCGGCGAGCUGGCUGCUUAUGUGGCUGAAAUCCAGACUUGAUAGGCAACCGAUGUUCAACAAUCGAUCGGUCCAAACCAGGCAUCUCAGUAUAAUCCCAAGCAAAGCAAUCUUUAUAUUCCUUCAACAAAUCAGUUAACUGUUGCUUACACUCAGGACUUAACUUAGCACUAAUAAAAGUAGGUCUAGGCUUAUCACCACUACCUAUAUCUACUUCUACCAAAUCAUCGGCCGAUGUGAACCCCUGGCCUAACUUUCCAUCAUCGGCGAACCUAUCCAUUAAACACUAUCUUCAGAACUGACUGCUUGGAUCGGUGGAAUUUCAUAAUCGGCAACUUUGAGGAAAUCCUUUUCCCACGCUUCUCCUGAAAUACACCUAGUCCUUUCAUAGGUGUCUGCUUCUGCCGAUGCAAUAACAUAGGAAGAAUCUCCCGGGACAAUCUCAAUCUUGUCACCAACCCACUGGACCAAGCACUGGUGCAUUGUAGACGGGAUGCAACAAUUGGCAUGAAUCCAAUCUCUCCCCAGCAACAGAUUGUAGGCACCUUUUCCACUGAUCACGAAGAAGGUAGUCGGCAAGGUUUUGCUACCGAUGGUCAAUUCUAUGUAGAUAGCUCCUUUAACUGGGGACACAUUGCCCUCAAAGUCUUUGAGCAUCAUAUCGCUCUUGGUCAGGUCCUGAUCUCCUUUCCCAAGCUUCUGAUACACUAUAUAAGGCAUGAUGUUGAUAGCAGCCCCACUGUCAAUUAAAAUCUUGGUCAUCGGCGGACCAUCAACCCUUCCUUUGACAAACAGAGCCUUAAGAUGUUGUCUUUCAUCAUCGGCAGGCUUGUCAAAGAUGGCUGUCAUCGGAUCUAGAGCCAACUGAGCUAUCUGGUCGGAAAACUCCAACUCAUCAUCACUGGAUGGCGCAAGGAACUCCAUCGGCAACAUAAAGACCAUGUUGACAUCUGCCGAUGGACCUUUCCCCUUAGGAUCUGGUUGUUGCUGAUCCCCAGACUGCCCAGAGUUCUCCCCCUUGCUUAACUCUUCUCGCCUUUCAUGCUGCAGCCUUCUUUUCUGUGUCCUGGUCAAUCCUUCUGGACACCAUGGAGGAAGUUGCCGAUGCCUGACCGCUGAGGGACGAUUUUCCUUUGAUUCCACUCGAUAAGUAUUGGCAUCCCUGCAAAAUAUGAACUCAUCGGGAACCCGUGAAUUAGCCAUCUCUUCAAGUUCUUCCUGGUUCCUGGGGAAAUACUCAACACGAUCUCCAAGCCUGUCGUGCACGCUGAGCCUGCCCCCUAGCCGAUCACGAACAGAUGUCCUACCAUUAUCACGAUUGCGCCGAUCAGACCUGUCGUACCGGUCAUAACCGUUGCACUCAGGACAAUCUCCGACAGUGGGAAGUUUGAUAUUCUCCUCCCAACAAUGAAUGAAGAACGGGCAAUUCCAGUGAUCCCUAUGCCGAUUCCACUCCUGCCGGCGUCUUUCUUCUUCCCGGCGAUAGUCCUCUUGCUGGCGCCGAUACCGAUCUUCACGUUGCUGCCAAGUCUCCCGAGGCCUUCUAUGAGUUAUUACAAUACCAGAUCGGGGAGGCCUCCUUAAGUUAACUCCCUCCUGGACUAGGCCUUUUCCUUUUGCAUCGGCGGUAGUGAUUUGAUGUUGAGGAUCCACCGAUGCACUUCUUUCAGCUGCCUCCGACGUCAAGACUUUGGCCUUUCCCUUAGCAUCUAGCAUGUUUGUUGGGAAAGGAUGUUGAUCAAUUUUCAUCGGUUUCUGAGCUUUAGAGCUGUCAAAUUUGAUCCUUCCUGACUCUAUAGCCGAUUGCAGCUGUUGCCUAAAUACUUUGCACUCAUUGGUGCUGUGAGAAGUUGCAUUGUGCCAUUUACAAUACUUCAUCUUCUUCAACUCCUCAGCUGAUGGGAUCACAUGAUUAGGUGAUAGUUUGAUCUGACCUCCUGAAGUAGAAAGUCAAAUAUCCGAUCGGCUUUAGUGAUAUCAAACGCGAACUUCUCUGGCUCUUUAUGCCCAAAAGGGCAAGACAUCGGCUUCUUGUUUUUCACCCACUCUGCCAAGCCGAUGACUGGUUCUUCAUCAGAGUCCGAGCUUGUUGCUUCAUCAACGAACGACACCUUUUUGUUCCAUGCUCUCUUGGGCUCGAAAGGCUUGAUAUCUUGGUCAGAAAUUCUCUGCACCAAAUGACUUAAGCUUUCAAACUCCUGAGACGCAUACUUGUCCCUGAUGUGUGGCAACAAACCCUGGAAAGCCAAAUCGGCUAGCUGCCGAUCAUCCAGAACCAGGCUAUAGCAUUUGUUCUUGACUUCCCGUAUUCUCUGCACAAAACUUUCAACCGAUUCAUCAUUGCGUUGCCUCAAUUUAACCAAAUCGGUGAUCUUCUUCUCAUGGACCCCAGAAAAGAAGUACUUGUGGAAUUGUUUCUCCAGAUCGGCCCAGGUAAUCACUAAGUUGGGAGGUAAUGAUAUAAACCAAGUGAAAGCCGAUCCAGACAAUGAUGAUGAGAAUAAACGAACCCUUAACUCAUCCCUGUUACCAGCUUCCCCGCAUUGGAUGAUGAACCUGUUGACGUGCUCCAUGGUUGACGUGUCAUCCUGCCUAGAAAACUUAGUAAAAUCCGGUACCUUGUACCGAUUUGGAAGCGGGAUCAAAUCAUAUGCGGGAGGAUACGGUGUUCGAUAAGAGUAAGUGUUGACUUUGGGUUUUAUCCCAAAUUGCUCUCUCAUCACUUCAGCGAUCUUAUCGGCCCAAUAAGCAUCGGCUUCUUGCCGAUGAGGCGGUUGCGGAUCGGGCGCCUGCUGGUAGGCUUCCACGUGUCGAUGCGGCGCACGAUCUGCAUGGAACAUCGGGUUAAUCAUCUGGCCCCCAAUCUGUGGACUACCAAGCUGUUGCCCGCCAAUCUGUUGUCCGCCGAUCUGCUGCCCAAAAUUCACCGGCUGGUUGGGCAUUCCCUGAUUCUGGAACUCGGGAUAGAUCUGGCCUUGCUGGUACCCUGUAGCCUGAUGACUCUGUUGGGAUGUUUGCGGAAAGACUUGCUGCCCAAGCCAUCCAUUAUUAGCGUCCAUCGGCAUAGGACCUGUCGAUGACCGGUAAUUGGGCAUGAUCAUUGGAUUGACAUACCCUGGCUGAGUCACAAACCUCUGUUGCAUCAGCAUUGAGUCUGCCGAUGCAUUAGGCAUCUGGAACGUCGGAGCUUGAGAAUUCCCAGUGUAAGGUCUUGCAGUAGUAGUUGUGGUAUACUGGGGACUCUGAUUCAUCGGCAUGCUUGGGGGUGCCGAUGUCAUAGUAGCCUUGCCUCUCACAUCAGUCGUCUGUGAUGUACCCGGUGUUAACUCUGGAGGCAUACCAUAACCCCGCCAGUUAGGAGGAGGAAUCGAUCCUGACAUUGCCGAUGCCAACAGAUCUGUGGCGAGUUUAAUCUGCCCAUCUAAAGUCGGUGGAUUUGUCAUCGGCGUAGAUCGUGCAUUAGUGACUCCUAACGUGCUUGGAGGGACAGGAAUUUCCAGGCCCGCAGCGGCUGUAGCAACCGAUGGAGCUGUGACCACCGGUGAUCCUGGCUAAUGAUGAGAAGGACCCACAUAAUCUGGUGGCAAUUGUCCUUCCUUGAAAGUUCUAGCCACGACAUUGAAAACCGUAUUGGACAGUACACCAGCUUGGUUAAUCAAAGCACGGUUGAUAGCACUAUCAACCAUCUCUUAAAGUUUACCAGGAUUGGCUUCAAAAGUAACCUGUCGAGGUGCCGGCAGUGCAUCCUUCUGGAUCACCUCGCCGCUCCUGUUCAUGCUGAAGGACCUCAGGCAUUGCUGCUUGUAAUCCUCCAUGGCUUUAGCAAUAGCUUGCUUCUGCUCAUCCUUGAGAUUGGCUUCCAUCACGGGGAUGACGUUCUCUUGAUCAAACUCAGAAGUCGACAUGUUGAUCUUGAUCUUGGAUCUGUCCCACCGGGUGUGCCAAAAGAUGUGUUGAUGCAAAAGCUGAUCUGCAAACACAAAGGGCUAAUACCCGAUUUAAACGUUAAGGCGUGCCAGCCGAUUUGACCUUACUAUCGGCAAGGAUGAUAACUCGAAUACUUUGGUCCUGACAACAGCGAUGUGCCCGGAUGCCACGGCCAAGAGGUAUUCACGCGGAACUUGAGAAUACGCCGUGCUUAAGUCGACAAACUCCUAAGAACUCGUAGUAAAAGGAAAAAAGUAUGACGAAGUCGUCGAAAAAGUAGGUGCUUGGAAUAUGAGAAAAACGUGUGUUUGAUUGAUUGAUUCUUAAAUUACAAAGCCCUAGGGUCUACAUUUAUACCCUGCUCCAAGAGCUACAACCAGACACGACUAGAAUUCAAAUUCCAAAUUUGGACAGAAUCCAUGUACAAAACGAUUUAAACAACUAAGGAAAACACAAAACUAUCUUGCCGUGAUAGGCUAGAACACCACUACGGACCACUUGGUAACCUCCAAGUCUUCCUUCUACGCCAUCGGUAGACCCCUCAUCGGCAACGAUCAAUACUAGCCAUCGGCACGAGCACAUCACCACCCAUGGACUUAGCCACAUCCAGCUAUCUCUUCAUCGGCAACCAUCCUCAUCGGCAACUCAUCUUGUAGACCAAGCCCUACCGUCUUGUCUUGCCAACCUGCAUUCUACCGAUCAUGGACACGUGCCCAAAAACGGUGUCAACAAUAGGUGCGGGUUGAACAUCCUUUGUGGUGUCUAGAUUCCGUUAGCCUCCCCAAUAGAACAGUAGAUCAUCCUUACCAAGGUUAGAAGAAGAUUACGGUUGUAGUCUUCUCUAUUUAUCACUCACAUCGAGAAACAUUCUUUGUUGCCUAAAGGGUUAGUAGUAAUAGACCGGGUUAGUCAGAUGCACUCUUUAUCCUAGUGGAAAAAAAUAAAUACGAUACUCUAGAUAACCUCCCGGGUGAAGUGCUCACUGAUAUCCGUGCGCUUGCGGAUCAAUUCCUUAUUGCGUCCCCAAAUAUCAACAUUGGCCGAUGUUACUUUCUUCAAAGAAAGAGCUUCAACCCAUUUAGUGAAAUAAUUAGUGGCAACUAAGAUGAACUUAUGCCCUUUGCUUGAUGGUGGGUAAAUCUGGCCGAUUAGAUCAAUAUCCCAUCCCCGAAACGGCCAAGGCUUAAUAAUGGGAUUCAUAGCCGAUGCGGGUGCCCUUUGAAUAUUGCCAAACUUCUGACAUCCUUGACAUCCUUUGAAAUAUUUAAAGCAAUCCUCGAGUAUGGUCGGCCAAUAAUACCCGUUUCUCCUAAUCAUCCAAUUCAUCUUAAAAGCUGACUGAUGCGCUCCACAUACUCCCUCAUGAAUUUCACCCAUCAAACUUUUAGCCUCAUCAUCACCUAAGCAUUUGAGAAGAACUCCAUCUAUAGUUCGAUAAUAUAGUUCAUCCCCAAGGAGCACAUACUUGGAAGCUUCAAACUUGAUAUGCCUCUCAACCUUUUUAGAUGGAUCUUUUAAAUAAUCAAUGAUCUCCUUUCUCCAAUCAUCGGCACCAAUUGCCGAUAACGUGUUUAAUAUGGGUUGAUAUCCCGAGGAAUGCUGAGCUAACCGAUUAGCCUCCUCAUUAUGUAACCGAGGAACAUGCUCUAAUCGGAAAUCCUUGAAUUCCUUUAAUAGUUGCAUACUCUUUUCAUAAUAGGUUAUCAGGACCUCGCUUCGGCAUUCAUAAAUUCUAGCCAACUAAUUUAUGACAAGCAUAGAAUCUCCGAAGAUUUCAACAACAUCAGCACGAACCUCUUUUAACAAAUCCAACCCUUUGAUUAAAGCUUGGUAUUCAGCUUCAUUAUUUGUUGACGUGGCAACAAUCGGCAAAGAGAAUUCAUACUCCUUUCCCCAAGCAGAAAUCAAUACUAUACCGAUUCCUGCCCCUCGGUCACACGUAGAUCCAUCAAAGAAGAGCGUCCAAGGAACAAUUUCCAAAGUCCCCACUGCACCACAAUGUUGAGUCACAAAAUCGGCCAUAAUCUGCCCUUUAACUGACCUAGCCGAUUCGUAACGUAGAUCAAAAUUCUGACAACGCCAAAAUCCAUUUACCCAUCCUACCACUCAUAGACAGCAUGUACCAGACUACAUCAUCUUUGCAUAUAACAGUGCAUUCGACCGACAGCAGAUAGUGCCUCAACUUAAUACAUGAAAAGUAUAGGCAUAAACAUAAUUUUUCAAUUGCCGAAUACCUAGUCUCAGCAUCAGUCAGUCUUCUACUUAAAUAAUAAAUCACACACUCCUUCCCUUCAAAUUCUUGAAUCAAAGCCGAACCGAUGACCAUCCCAUCGGUAGACAAAUAUAGUUUGAAAGGCCUUCCUUGCUGAGGUGGAAUCAGAACUGGAGGAUUUGUUAAAUAAUUCUUAAUUUCACCCAAGCUUGAUUGUUGCUCUUUUCUCCACACAAACUCUUGAUCGGUUUCUAAUUUAAGUAAAGGACUAAAAGCAUGAAUUUUACCAGACAGAUUAGAUAUAAACUGCCUGAUAAAAUUUAUCUUGCCGAUCAAAGACUGGAGUUCAGUUUUGUUGGUAGGAGCAACUAUUUAUUGAUAGCAUCAAUAGAUCUUCUACUAAUUUCAAUUCCUCUCUGAUGCACCAUGAAACCAAGAAAUUGCCCUGCCGAUACACCAAACGCGCACUUAUUAGGAUUCAUCUUUAAACCAUGUUUCCUUCUGCACUCCAACACCUUUCGCAGAUCGGCAAGAUGCUUUGUGAAAUCCCCAGACUUAACCACCACAUCAUCAAUGUAAAUUUCUACCAACUUGCCGAUGAACUCAUGAAAAAUAAAAUUCAUAGCGCUCUGAUAAGUAGCACCAGCGUUUUUCAAGCCAAAGGUCAUGACUAUCCAUUCAAACAACCCAACAUGACUAGGACACCUAAACGCGGUCUUUGGAAUAUCCUCUUCAGCCAUGAAUAUCUGAUUAUAUCCUGCAUUGCCGUCCAUAAAGCUAAUGAUCCGAUGUCCAGCCGCAGCAUCAACCAGCAAAUCGGCAAGUGGCAUUGGAUAACCAUCCAUCGGUGUAGCCUUGUUAAGAUUUCUGAAAUCAAUGCAGACUCGAAGCUUCCCAUUUUUCUUGUAAACUGGAACGACAUUGGAAAUCCACUCGGCAUACCGAUAUUGCCGAAUAAAUUUAGCUUCGAUAAGUUUAAUUAUUUCGGCUUUAAUAUCAGGAAGAAUAUUAGGAUUACAUCGGCGAGCUAGCUACUGAUGUGGCCAAAAUCCAGAUUUGAUAGGUAACCGAUGUUCAACGAUCGAUCGGUCUAAACCAGGCAUCUCAGUAUAAUCCCAAGCAAAGCAAUCUUUAUAUUCUUUUAACAAUUUGGUUAGCUGUUGCUUACACUCAGAAUCUAACUUAGCACUAAUAAACAUAGGUCAUGGCUUAUGACCAUUACCUAUAUCUACUUCUACCAAAUCAUCAGCUGAUGUAAACCCCUGGCCUAAUUUUCCAUCAUCGGCGAUUCUAUCCAUUAAAACUCCUCAUCAGAACCGACUGCUUGGAUCGGUGGAAUUUUGUAAUCGGCAACUUUGAGGAAAUCCGUCUCCCAAAUUUCUCCUGAGAUGCACCUGGUCCUCUCAUAAGUAUCUGUCUCUGUCGAUGCAAUGACAUACGAAGAAUCUUCUGGGACAAUUUCAAUCUUGUCACCUACCCACUGAACCAAACACUGGUGCAUAGUAGAUGGGAUGCAACAAUUGGCAUGAAUCCAAUCUCUCCCCAACAGUAGAUUAUAAGCACCCUUUCCACUGAUGACGAAGAAAGUCGUCGGCAAGGUUUUGCCACCGUUGGUCAACUCGACACAUAUAGCUCCCUUGACUGGAGACACAUUCCCUUCAAAGUCCUUCAGCAUCAUGUCAGUCUUGGUCAAGUCUUGAUCUCCUUUCCCAAGCUUCCGAUACACUGCAUACGGCAUAAUAUUGAUAGCAGCCCCACCAUCGACUAAUAUCUUGGUCAUUGGCUGCCCAUCAACCCUUCCUCUGACAAACAGAGCUCUAAGAUGCUGCCUUUCAUUGUCGGCAGACUUUUCAAAGAUAGCCGUCAUUGGAUCGAGAGCCAAUUGAGCUAUCUGGUCAGAAAAAUCCACCUCCUCGUCAUCACUGGACGGCGCAAGGAACUCCAUCGGCAACAUAAAUACCAUAUUAACAUCUGCCGAUGGCCCUUUUCCUUUAGGAUCUAGCUGCUGCUGACCUUCAGACUUACCAUAAUUCUCUCCUUUACUCAGCUCUUCCCGUCUUUCACACUGCAGCCUUCUUUUCUAUGUCCUAGUCAGUCCCUCUAGACACCAUGGAGGGAGUUGCGGCUGUCUUACCGAUUGGUGGCGAUUUCCCCUUGAUUCCACUCGAUAAGUAUUAGCAUCCCUACAAAAUAUGAACUCAUCGGGAACUCGUGCAUCUGCCAUUUCCUCAAGCUCGUCUUGAUUCCUGGGAAAAUAUCCGACACGGUCACCAAGCCUCUCAUGCACACUGAGCCUGCCUCCCAGCCGAUCAUGAACGGAGGUUCUUCCCCUAAUCGGCCCAUUAAAUCGCCGAUCAUCGUUUUGAUACUGCCGAUUAGGUCUAUCAUACCGAUCAUAACCAUUGCACUUAGGGCAGUCUCUAACAGUGGGCAAUUUGAUGUUUUGCUCCCAACAGUGGAUAAAGAACGGGCAGUUCCAAUGAUCCUAAUGCCGACUCCACUCUUGUCAGCGUCUUUCUUCUUCCCGACGUUGAUCCUCCUGUUGGCGCCGAUACCGAUCCUCACGCUGCUACCAGGUCUCCCGAUGCCUUCUAUGAGUAAUCACAAUACCAGACCGGGGAGGCCUUCCUAAGCUGGUUCCUUCCUGAAUCAGACCCUCGCCUUUAGCGUCAUCGGCAGUAAUCUGAUGUUGAGGAUCCACCGAUGCGCUUCUUUUAGCUGCCUCUGACGUUAAGACCUUGGUUUUUCCCUUAGCAUCCAACAUAUUUGUUCGGAAAGGAUGUUGAUCGAUCUUCAUCGGCUUCUGAGCUUUGGAAUUAUCAAACUUAAUUCUCCCGGAUUCUAUAGCCGAUUGCAGGUGUUGCCUGAAAACCUUACACUCAUUUGUGCUGUGAGAUGUUGCAUUGUGCCACUUGCAGUAUUUCAUCUUCUUUAAUUCUUCUGCCGAUGGAAUCACAUGAUUGGGUGACAACUUAAUUUGUUGCUCUUGAAGUAGAAAGUCAAAUAUCCUAUCGGCUUUGGUGAUGUCAAAUGCAAACUUUUCUGGUUCCUUAUGCCCAAAAGGGCAAGACAUCGGCUUCUUAUUUUUCACCCAUUCCGCCAAGCCGAUGACCGGUUCUUCAUCAGAAUCUGAGCUUGCUGCCUCAUCGAUAAAUUACACUUUUUUAUUCCAUGCUCUCUUGGGUUCAAAAGGUUUAAUAUCUUGAUCAGAAAUCCUCUGCACCAAAUGACUUAGACUCUCGAACUCUUGAGAAGCAUACUUGUCUCUGAUAUGUGGCAAUAAUCCCUGGAAAGCCAAAUCGGCUAGCUGCCGAUCGUCUAGAACCAGACUAUAGCACUUAUUCUUGACCUCUCGCAACCUUUGCACAAAACAUUCAACCGAUUCAUCAUUGCGUUGCUUCAACCUAACUAAAUCGGUAAUCUUCUUCUCAUGAACUCCAGAAAAGAAGUAUUUAUGGAAUUGUUUCUCUAGAUCGGCCCAAGUGAUCACUGAAUUAGGAGGUAAUGAAAUAAACCAAGUAAAGGCCGAUCCAGACAAAGAUGAUGAGAACAAGCGAACCCUUAACUCAUCUCUGUUAGCAGCUUCUCCACACUGGAUGAUGAAUCUAUUGACAUGCUCCAUAGUUGACGUAUCAUCCUGUCUAGAAAACUUGGUGAAAUUUGGUACCUUGUACCGAUUUGGAAGUGGAAUUAAGUCAUAUGCAGGAGGAUAUAGUGUCCGAUAAGAGUAAGUGUUGACUUUGGGUUGUAUCCCAAAUUGGUCUCUCAUCACUUCAGCUAUUUUAUCGGCCCAAUAAACAUCGGCAUCUUGCCGAUGAGGUGGUUCUGGAUCUGGCACCUGCUGAUAAGCUUCCACGUGUCUCUGAGGUGCACGAUCUCCAUGGAACAUUUGAUUAACCAUCGCCUGCUGACCACCAAGUUGCUGGCCAAGAUUCAUCGGCUGGUUGAUCAAUCCUUGAUUCUGAAACCCAGGUUGGACUGGUCCCAGUUGAAAUCCUACAUCCUGAUGAUUCUGCUGAGGCAUCUGUGGAAAGACAAACUGCCCUGUCCAAUCACUAUUAACAUUCAUCGGCGUAGGUCCUGCCGAUGACUGGUAAUUAGGCAUCAUCAUUGAAUUGACAUACGUUGGCUGUGUCAUAAACCUUUGCUGCGUCGGCAUUGGAUCUGCCGAUGCAUUAGGCAUCUGGAACGUUGGCGCUUGAGAAUUCCCAGUGAAAGGUCUUGCAGUAGUAGUUGUAGAAUACUGGGGAUUCUGAGUCAUCGGCGAGCUUGGAGGUGCCGAUGCCAUAGGAGCCUUGCUUGUCACGUCAGCCACUUGAGAUGUCCUAGGGCUUUUUGCCAUAAACUCUAGAGGCAUACCAUAUGCCCACCAGUUGGGAGGAACAGAUCCUGACAUUGCCGAUGCCAAUAAAUCUGUAGCAAGUUUGAUUUGCCCGUCUGACGUUGAUGGAUUAGUUGUCAUUGGUGUAGACUGCGCAUUAGUGAUCCCUAAUGUGCUUGGCGGAGAAGUUGCUUCUGUACCCGCAACGGCUGUAGUAGCCGAUGGAGCCGUAACCAAUGGUGACCCUGGCUGAUGAUAGGCAGGACCCACAUAAGAUGGUGGCACUUGUCCUUCUUUGAAAGUUCUGGCCACAGCAUUGAAAACUGUAUUGGACAGCACACUAGAUUGAUUGAUUAGAGCACGAUUAAUAGCAUUGUCAACCAUCUCUUGAAGUUUACCAGGAUUGGCUUCAAAAGUGAUUUGCCGAGGCAUCGACAAUGCUUCCUUUUGGAUCACCUUGCCACUCCUGUUGAUGCUGAAGGAUUUCAAGCAUAGCUACUUGUAAUCCUCCAUAGCUUUCGCCAUAGCUUGCUUUUGCUCAUCUCUGAGAUUAGCUUCUGUCACAGGAAUGACGUUCUCCAAGUCGAAAUCGGUGUUCGACAUGUUGAUCUUGAUCUUGAAUCUCGAUCCCACUGGGCGUGCCAAAAGAUGUGUUGGUGCAAAAGCUGAUCUGCAAACACAAAGGGCUAAUACCCGAUUCAAACGUUAAGGCGUGCCGGCCGAUUUGACCUUACAAUCGACAAAGGUGGUAACUCGAACACUUUGGUCCCGACAAGAGCGAUGCGCCCGGAUGUCACGGCCAAGAGGUGCUCACGCGGAACUUGAGAACACGCCGAGUUUGACUCGACGAAUUCCUAAGAACUCAUAGUAAAAGGGAAAAUAUGACAAAGUCGUCGAAAAGUAGAUGCUAGAAUAUGUGUAAAAACUUGUGUUUGAUUGAUUGAUAGAUAUCCUCAUUACAUUACCACGGGGUCUACAUUUAUACCCUGUUCAAAAGAACUACAACCAGACACAACUAGAACUCGAACCACAAAUUAAAUGGAAUCCGUAUACAAAAUGAAUUCUAAUAACUAAGGAAAUCAUUAAACUAUCCUCCGCACCCGAUCGGUACACCGCCACGAGUCAAUCGGCAACCCUUGCGCUUUUCUUCAUAAGCAUCGGCAGACCGCCUGUUACAGCCAUCAGCAACCAUCAGCACUAGUCAUCGGCACGAACAUAUCACCACUCCUAGACUUGGUCAUAUUCGGUUGUUUUCCCAUCGGCACCAACCUUCAUCGGCAACUCCCCUGUAGACUAGUCACCAUUGCUCCACCUAUCGAUCUACACUUCAUUAACUCUAGGUGCGUAUCCAAAGAUACGUGUCCAAAAAUGGUGUCAACAAGUCUGAAUUUCGGCCGUAUCAGCAGCCAGGACGCCGAUGCAACCCUAAUGUAGUUCCUGACAUUAAGGCCAAAAUAACUAUGUUGAAUGAGGCAAAUUUUAUCUGGUAGUCUAUAUGUAGAGUGGAUUUCUAAUGUGGUUCCUGUCUAUAAGAAAAAUAGAAAACUUCGUGUUUGUAUUGAUUUCAGGAACCUCAACAAAGCUACACCGAUGGAUGGCUAUCCAAUGCCUGUUGUCGAUUUGUUGGUUGAUGCUGCAGCCAGACAUCAGAUUAUCAGCUUCAUGGAUGGUAAUGUAGGUUACAAUCAAAUAUUCAUAGCUGAAGAAGAUAUUCUCAAGACUGCAUUCAGAUGUCCAGGUCAUGUGGGGUUAUUUGAGUGGAUAGUCAUGACCUUCGGUUUGAAAAACACCGGUGCUACUUAUUAGAGAGCUAUGAAUUUUAUUUUUCAUGAGUACAUUGGCACAUUAGUGGAAAUCUACAUUGAUGAUGUGGUAGUUAAGUCUGGAGAUAUCGCAAAACAUCUAGCCGAUCUACGAAAGAUACUGUAGUGCAUGAGGAAGCAUGGAUUGAAGAUGAAUCCUAAUAAAUGUGUGUUUGGUGUAUUAGCAAGUCAAUUCUUGGGUUUUACGGUGCACCAGAGAGGUAUUGAAAUUUGUAGAAGGUCUAUUGAUGCAAUUAACAAGGUAGUUGCUCUUGCCUUAAAACUGAACUGCAAUCUUUGAUUGGCAAGAUUAAUUUCAUCAGAAGGUUCAUAUCUAAUCUAUCGGGCAAGAUCAAGGCUUUCAGUCUGUUGCUUAAAUUGAAGGCCGAUCAGGAAUUUAUAUGGGGUGCUGAGCAGAAGUUGGCCCUAGAUGAAAUUAAGAAAUACUUGACAAAUCCUCCAGUGCUAGUUCCACCUCAACACGAGAAACCCUUCAGGUUGUAUUUAUCGACUAAUGAUACUGUUAUCAGUUCAACUCUUAUUCAAGAGUUUGAAGGGAAAGAAUGUGUUAUUUAUUAUUUGAGCAGAAGAUUGGUGGAUGCUGAGACAAGGUAUUCGGCCAUAGAGAAACUAUGCUUAUGCUUAUACUUUUCUUGUAUUAAACUGAGGCAUUAUUUGCUAUCGGCCGAAUGCACUAUCAUAUGCAAGGAUGACGUAGUCAAAUACAUGCUGUCGAUGCCAAUAUUGAGUGGUAGAAUCGGCAAGUGGAUUUUAGCAUUGUCAGAAUUUGACCUACGUUAUGAAUCCGCUAAGGCAGUUAAAGGGCAGGUUAUGGCCGAUUUUGUCACUCAGCAUUGGAACACAGUAGACUCUCUUGAAGUUGCCCCUUGGACACUUUUCUUUGAUGGGUCUACAUGUUGUGAAGGGGUAGGUAUCGACAUUGUGUUAAUUUCACCUUAAGGAAGUAUGAGUUUUCAUUGCCAAUUGUUGCUACAUCGACAAACAAUAAGGCUGAGUAUCAAGCUUUGAUAAAAGGGUUGGAAUUACUUAGAGAGAUACGUGCCAAUGCUGUCGAGAUCUUCGAUGACUCUAUGCUAGUUAUAAAUCAAUUGGCAGGGAUUUAUGAAUACCGAAGUGAAGUUUUGAUUUCAUAUUAUGAGAGAUGUUCGCAAUUAUUGAAAGAGUUUAAAGAUUUUCAUCUUGAACAUAUUCCUCGAUUGUAUAAUGAAGAAGCUAAUCGCCUAGCUCAGCAAUUCAGGGUAUCAGCCUAUCCAAGAGGUGCUGACAUCAACAGUUGAUGCCGAUGACGGGAGAAUAGAGAUUGCCGAUUACUUAAGGGAUCCAUCCAAGAAGGUUGAAAGACAUAUAAGAUUUCAAGCUACUAAGUCUGUGCUCCUCGAUGAUGAAUUAGAUUAUUGGACUAUAGAUGGAGUUUUACUCAGAUGUCUUAGCGGUGAUGAAUCGAAAAGCUUGAUGGGUGAAGUUCAUGAAGGAGUGUGUGGGGCACAUCAAUCGGCUUUCAAGAUGAAAUGGAUGAUCAGAAGGAAUGGAUACUAUUGGCCGACUAUUCGUGAAGAUCGCUUUAAAUAUUUUAAAGGAUGUUAGAGGUGUCAAAAGUUUGGCAAUAUUCAAAGAGCGCCUACAUUGGCCAUGAAUGCCAUUGUUGAUGCGAAAAUAGGUCUGCAAACACAAAGGGCUAAUACCCGAUUCAAACGUUGAGGCGUGCCAGCCAAUUUGACCUAGCAUUCGACAAAGGUGAUUGUUGACGGUCCUUAAGUAUCAAAUUUAAUUAUCAAAUAAACAAAGAAAAGGAUCCAAAUGAAAUCAACAUCUAGACUUAGGGUUUUAUCUGACAGAAUUCCACGAGUUUUGGUGUUUGUCUAUUUCUGUAGGGGGUUUAUCACGAAAUACGGAAGAAAGGCCCACACGUCGGGAUUACAUAGAGAUAUUAACGUGCCGCGCAAUUAUCUUACAUCUAGAAGACUCUAGAAGCCACGGGAAGGAAGCAGAGGCCGAACGGGGCCAGGCACUAGGCGCCCAGCCAGUUGACCUGGGCGCCCGCCCCCUGUUGGACUCCAAUCAGGACACUCUUUCGAGAAAGAUCUCCACCGACCUAAAGGAUCAAGGAUAACCGUUCAAUCAAUGUCGGUUUUAUCCAACGGCCCAUAUUCACUUGAAGGGACUAUAAAACCAGACCCCCUGGCCCCUGGAGGAGAGAGCCUCUCAACCCUAAUUCAUUAUUCCUCAAGGGAGAAGAAGCCUCUGAUCAAGCAUAGAGCCACCACAUCAAUUAGACAUCUAGAUUAGCAUAGCCACGUAGGAUUAGAACAAGAAGGAGUCAAUCUUCGAUUGGUUUCCGGAUCUAUCAAGAGGAUUCUUGGUAAUUCUCUAAUUGUUCUUCUAAUUGUUCUUCUAAUCAUCUUUGUCCUUCAAUAUUAUGAAUAUGACUUUGUUCUACUUCAAUAUAUUGCUUAUGACUUUGCUCUACUUAUUUAUAUUCAAGAUUAUAUUGUUCUUAGUUUAUCAUAGUUAUUUACUUGGCUUAGUUAGAUUGGAUCUAUAUACAUGUUUAGGAUCGUAUAGCGUUUAUCCAUCGGAUCCAUGGGUAAAUGAUAGAUAUUGUGUAGGCGUGGUGCUUAUACCGUAUUUAUCUGCGAUUGUACCCAAUAUGCUAGAUCGUGGGGUAGUUCGUGAUAGUGACAACUUAAUUGAUUCUUAUAUAGUCCCCCUCUCGUGUACUGGGUUGGCAGAGCAAUAUUAUUAUAGGGGAGUGAUUGCUAUGUUUCUCAUUUACCUUGCUAAUAUCACUAUGCAUGGGCGUAGUCUUGUCUCGCAAUGAUUGCUAAGUAUGCUUGCACUAACUAUGAUAAUGCUAGACAAUAUAGUUGAGAAUAACUUAGGAAAUAUUCUUGUAGUUCAUUCUAAUUCCAUGCUAAUGACUUUCUAGAGUAUCUAAUUGAGGUGCUUAUCAUAUUUAUUAUGUGGCUAAGUUAUGCUGAUCAGAUUAAUUAUCUUUGUCACUAUUCAUUACUUCAUAUAUCCUUUAUGUGACACUUACCCCUGUAUGAAAGAGUUAGAUAAAUGUUCUCAAUUAUACAUGCAGUGAUAGAUACUCAAUCUUAUAUUCCAUUCUAUAAUCAAUAUUGAUGAUUACUAAUGCCUUUCCAGUGGUAAAAAUAUAAAUAACGAUACCUGGAAUACUUUCCGGUUAAAAUGCUACAUCGGUAUUAAUCUGUGCGCUUGCAGAUCCCAUUCAUUAUUUAUUUAGAAGAGCAAUUGUGUAACACUCCUAGUGUUAGCUUGCAUGUUAACCAUGAGCAUUGCAUCAACAUAAGCAUCAUCAUGAUCACUCAUGAGCAUCAUACCAUGAUCACAUGCCAUUUGCUACAUGUACUUUGUGAUUGAAUUGCUAUAUGACUUGCUAUGGUUGAUUGUAAUGGGUGACUAAGGUAUACAAGUGUACAUUGUCUUCCAAAAUACUUUAAUCAUGUUUAGGACAUCAUUUUGAACAAAGUUCAUGUUGAAGGUUUUGGCCAAAAAUGCCCCUAAGUCAUGGUUAACCCUAGAUUUACCUAAUUGACCCCCUAGACCUCCUUUCAAAUAUGUUUUAUGAAACUGGUGUUAGAGACCUUGCAUGUAAAUGACACCUAAAACAAAGUUGUAGUACAUUCCAUAAGCUACAAAAGUUAUGUUGAUGACUUUUCAUGAAAAAGCAUGGAACACAUUCAAAAGUUGCUCACAAGCCAAAAAUCAGGGCUGAUUUCACACUUGGCCGAAUUUGGCUAAGUCUUAAGUCACACAGUUUCGAGGUGGGGUACUUUGGAGCGUUGUAGUUUGAAAUCCAGGUCGAGUUAGAUGUUGAUCCUUUGAGCAAACUUGUAGAACUCGUGUAGCUCUACCCAAAGGACCAAAUCCGUACCAAAACCAUCGAGUGAGCUGAGAGUAAAACGUCGACCAACUUCAGGAUUCAGUCACUGCAAUCGGCGUUUCAGAAAAACGAUUCAGUUUGGAUAGAGUUCACCCGCCGCCGCGUGUCCGGCCACGUGCCGGCCGUAUGCCGUCGACGGCCCCCCUGUCAGCUCCCACGGCGUCCCCAAGUCACCACGCACCGAGUGGAUGCCUCAGACGCGACCCCCACUCGCUCAGAGCGCUUCAUUUCGCUCCGCCAUUGUCAUGGCGAGCUCCGCCGCGCUUCGGCGAGCUCUUCCGGCUGCUCCUUCGUGUCUCCGGCCGAGCCAGUCCGCCCAGAGCUCCGCCUCGACCUCCUCUACCUUGACGUCCACUCCAUUUCCUUAGCCAAGCACCGGUGAGGUCACAUUGCCCACUCCGUCGCGAGCUCCACCUCGCUAGAGUUCAUAGGGAUCACUGGCAACGUGGCCAGACCUCUCUGGUUCACCUCUGGCCGUGAUUCUUCUUCCUGUAGCUUCGCCUUGAGUCACUCUUGCUCGUCCGCAAGCUCUACCGCGUCACCAUUGCCUAGAUCCGCCGGCGUAACGCCGCGCAGCGCCGCCGAGCCGCCAUUCCCGACGGCGAGCACCCUAGGGUCCCGUAGAGCGCGGGUAAAGUAGGUCACUGAGUCCGCCUUGAUGAGAGGAACACGUAGAUGCCCUUGGAUCCGGCCGAGACCUCGCCGUCGUCGAGCUUCGCCUGGGACGAGCGUCUCCCCUGUCACUGUGUCACUAGCGAGCGGGUCCCGCUGACCAGCGGAUCCCACCUGUCAGUCUCACCCUCUCACACUCUGGUCACUGUGUAGCCGAUUCUUUGCUGUUUUUGUAAAAUUCAUAUCUGGAGUUUUAUAGAUCCAAAUGACAUGGCUCAAAUUUUGUUAGGUUCUUGCAUAAGUCUAGUUUUUAAUAAAAAUAUGAAACAUGCCAUGUUUUUGCAGAAAUAAAUAGAUAUAAUUUAAUUUUGGUCUAUUAGGAGGUAAUUAUAUAUUGAGAUCUGUUGAUCUGUUGGCCAUGAAAAUUUAGGGUGUUGUUACUUAUGAUAUCAAUAGGCUCUGAUAAAGUUAUCAUGAUUUUUGGAAGCCUGAUUGUGAAGUUAUAAAUAUUUCUUGUUCAAAUAGGAGUUUCUUGUGGUAUUUUUAAUAAAUAAAGUAUGACUCGUUUGGUGGUGAAACUUGCUGAGUGUUGUACUCAGGGGUAAACAAAGCCAGGAAAAAUCUGAAAUCUGUUGUUUGACACUUUUUGAUAGGGUUUCACAUUUAUGCCUUGCAUGCCUUUGCUAGCUUGUUAUUUUUGUAUCUCACAAUCUGUAUGUGCAAGUGCCCUGAAAAUUUUACAUUAACCUUGUGUUAGCAUAAGUAACUUGCUGUAAUUUUCUUAGAAUUCUUGGAGCACUUGGAAUACAUGCUCAUUAAAUCACCUUAAUAAUUCAAUAAAUGAAAAAGGGGAUGAUGAAAAUGAGUUUAGACCUUGCCAUGUUGUUUUCUAGUGUUUCUUAGACAUGUUCCAUCUACUGGUGCAAUUGGAUUGACCCUUUGAUGCAUUCUUGUUAUGUGCAAAAUAUUAUUUUUGCUAUUUAUGCCUUUCCUAGAGCAAUUCUGGGUAGCUGAUAGCAAUUGCUUAAGAACUAAUUGAAGAUGAUGUUUUCUGGGAAACUUGUAUACAACAAACUUGUAGAUAACUUGCUUAUCUACUUCGUUUCCAAGUUUCAUGACAGUUGAUUGAGUAGUUUAAAAGUUAUGAAUGUUACAAUUGGCUGCUACAAAGUGCUUGCUCUCUGGAGUUUCCAGGACAGCCAGCCAACUUUGUAUGUUUUUGCCUAUUUCGGUUGGGAAUCAUGAUGGGGUGUCUAAAAGUGAAUUGUAGAUAAUUUACUAAGCUUUCCAGAAAGUAUUUACUUGCUUAGUUUGGCCAACUGAUGCUUAGGUUAUAGCUGAAACUUGUGACAAGUUGGUCUGUCUACAAAACCAGUGGCUGAAUAGGAGUGACUAAGGUUGUUUAAUUUGUCUAGUUAGCCUCUCUACCAGAGAAGAAGUAUGCACUUACUUGUUAUCCUAUGAUUCACUUAAUUUUAGGAGUGUAUGCUCAUGUUAUACCUUGUUUUAUGUUCCUUUGGCUCUUCAUCAUGACAUCAUGCAUCAUAUGUGCAUUCUCUAUAUUCAUCUCCUUGUCAUGCAUACAUAGGUGUACCCAAGGGCGUGACAGUGUUGGAGUUCGAGCUACCGGAGUCGGAAGGUCAACAAGGGGAGCCACCUCAAGGAGCUGAGAAGGAGGAGGACUUGCCAGAGUGUCCCGACCAUCGCCCGUCCACCUACGUUGAAGGCAAGCCCCGGAGCAUUAUAAGCCUCCUACUAUUUCUUUAUAUCAUAUCCAGCUAUAAAUUGACUAUGUUUAUGUAUUGUUACACUAAGUGUUAGACGUUGAUAUGACACCCUUGCUGCAUAAUGACUACCUUGUCCACCUUAUACCUCACCUAAGUAGGUCCAGGAUCGAAAUGAUGCUUAGCCAUGCUUAGCUCGGUAGAAGCCGGGUGAUUUACUGUCACCUGCGAGAGAUAGGUGGAUGCUGAUCACGGUUGGCUAUAUUUGCUAUCGUGGAAAUAACCAUGUGCUAAUAAUGAACUUGAGACUGGGCAGGAUGAUGAUAGUGCAGCAACAAGGCAUGGAGGUGUUGGGUGUGAAUCUAUCCCCGUCUGUGUCGGUUAAGGACCGAAUCGCUGUACGUCCCCGUGUCAUGUUGAACGCAUGCCUAUCACUUAGUUGGCCGGAUAAGUCGUUCCGACCGUGAAGCCUACGAGUGCAACUCAGGCCGGAUACCCUGUUCUGUAUGAGUGCGCACCCCGGUUGGGAGUAAGUAUGUGCGGGGAGUCAAUGGCGUAAGUCCGAGGAGUCAGGUUAGAGUCCUGACCCUGGCAGAUUGGUGGUCCCUGGGGGUGCGGCGCUGGACGGACCCGCGAAUUGGUCCGGAGUUGUGCUAAAGGUGAUCCGAGCUGCCCUCAUGAAGUAUGCUUGGGUGAGUGUUAGGAAUACCCCUCCAGCUGGAUAGGAAUCGACUUGAAUCGCCGUCUCUCCCGGAUAGUGAGAACUUGACUUGGGCAGCGGCAACGUAGAAUUCACUAAGUAAACUUAAUGGCUAUGAUGAGAAUGUUGAUAGCAAAGUGAUAAUCCGGAUAUGGUUAUUAUUGAAAUGCUUAAUUACUCAAGUGUGUGCUUAGAACAGGUGCUAAUCUAGUGAAUAGUUGCUAAGGGAUGAACCUGCUGCUAAAAUAUUAUAAAUGAGUUACUUACAUCUAAAGCCUUUAUGCAAAAGGUGAGUCAAACCAGUCCACAAAGAUUAGCCUUGCAUACUCUUUUGGUGUCACUUUAUUUCUGGUUUAUGACGGGUAAGUCUAGCUGAGUACCUUCUCGUACUCAGGGUUUUAUUUACCCCUGUUGCAGAUGACGUCGUUUAUCACGGCUAUUGUGCAAACUGCCAUCAUCCGGCUGCGGAUGAUAAAUAGAUCAUGGGCGUGAUCAUCUUCUCUAUCUUCAGUUGUGCUUUUGUUGGGUUUGACCAUGGAACUAGCAUGUAAUAUAAACUGAGUGUGUGAUGUUCUAAAACAACUUUGUUUCCGUUACCAAACUGGUUUGUAAUAACCAUGUUUAAACUCUGAUGUGAUGUAAAACUAUGUUCUGUGAUGAAUGUAUGUAAUCUGUGAUGGCGAUGCUUGAUCAUGUACGGUCUUGGUUGUAUGUUGGUUGAAUCGAGGUCUUUUGAGAUUUCGUCGGACUACCGGGUUUAUAUGGGUUCAAGUCCAUUGGCUUGACUGCCUCCGUGGUCGCUAAUUCACUUGAAUUCUUAUAAAUUGGACGGUUCUGUUCCAGCUGGCAUCAGAGCAAGAUUAAGCAUUUAACCAUCAUAGAUGUAUUUAAAAACAAAUGAAUUUGGUUUUCCAAAGCUAAUUUGGCAAGUUAGACUAUACAUAGGGCUGUUUUAAAAAUGUUUCAUAACUUAUACCAUGCCAGUGGUCAUACCCUUUAAGCCCAUAUAAGGACUUUUAGGUGGCUUAAUAUUACUAACAUGGGGGUUUUUCCUUUCGUCGUCCAUAUGGCGUGCAAUAAUAUGGAUGCCACUUACUUAAGUGGUAAUGAAUGGAUCACAUACCUCUACGCCAUGGUAAGCAAUGUUUGUUUUCCUUUCGUCGUCCAUACGGCGUGAAAUUGUAUGGAUGCCGCUCACUUGAGUGUUAAUGUAUGGAUCUGUAUGCCUCUACGCUACGGUAAGUGUGAGCUGUGAGAGCAUGACCGUCCAACCGUGGGUCUAGGGGAGUGUUAGCUGUGGUUACUGGAAUAUUUACAUGUUUCACACAUGUAUAUAUGAAGGUACUUAAUUGUGGGUAGUAGGUGCAGCCAUGUAUACAUAUUUGAUGUAUAUGUGGCUGCAUCCCAAUUGGGGUAGUGUGCUGCGAUAUAUGUUCGGAAAUAUAUAUCGAAGUACCUAGCUUGAAUAUACAUGAUUGGAUUUUCAUUUCUGCACAUAUACUCUUGUGGGGUUGGGCUGAAAUGAAACUUUCUGUAGGUACCCUAACAACGAAACAUGUAGACCGUGUAGUUGCGUAUAAGGAGUGCACGUAUGUAUGCCACCGACUAUAUCGUUAGAACUUUCUUCCAGGAAUGGAAAGGACGUAUGGAACGUGCAUGCAUCAUGAAACAUUCAUACAUUCCUUAUGCACUACUUAAGUAUUAAAUUCUGAAAAUAUAUCUAAUUACCUUUCCUUGUAAUUAAUCUCCCUUACUCAAAUGUGGUCUUUCUACAGAUGGCAGCCCCACACGCAAGUGAGACUUUCCUGGACAUGUUUGGCACUCCUACUUUGUUGUGGAGGGUGCUAAGUUCAGUUGGAUAUGAGGAACCACCAAAGUACACUUGGACCGAGUCUGAGCAUGCAGGAGCUUUACCUUGGGUAGAUGUCCAAAUUACAAUUUCCCCUUGUCCCAAUAACCCACAGUGGCUAGGUUGGAUAGUAGAGUGCGAUGGUCAAACUCCUUGGGAGAGUGCCCAAGUAGCUGCCUUAGAAGCAUUGUUGGAGAUAUGCCAAGAUUAUGGUGACGAACUAGUGAAUGGCCCAGCUGGAUCCAUCCCUAGAGUGAGUGUGACUGACACAUUUGUAUCUCAGAUAGGAAAUGAGCCUCUAGAGAUGAGAGAAACCAUGCUAGGAUAUAGCUCUAGCCCUGCCAUGAGUGCCAUGCUGGCGGUACUUAAGCUGCACUAUGUACGCCAGGACACCUACAUAGAGGCCAUGCUAGCGCUCCAACAAGCUCAAGUUGGGCAGCGCAAACUGCGCAAGCGCGUGCGCAAGCACCGCAAGGCUUUUAGGGAUGCACAAGCUGAAAUCCAAAACUAUCACACCGCUUUGCAAGCCCGCCGCAACCAAGUUGAAAACGCAGUUAGAGAGCGCAAUGAGGCGCAAGCCCGCAUGAUGCAAAUGACUAGAGAGAGAGAUGAGGCUAUGCACUUAGCUGAGAAUAGAGAAGCUGCUAGAGUUAAAGCUUUGUUCUGUGCUGAAAUUAGAGAGGAAGAACUGAUCACUAGGAUUGCUGAGCUGCAGUUAGAUGUCCAUCGCCUAAAUAAUAUCAUAAAUCCUAUCCCACAACCUGUCCCCUUUAAUCAUGAAGAAGCUCCUAGUGAGGAAGAUCAGGAUGAUGGCAUCAUUUCUAAUAGAGAAUCUGAGGAAGAUAUGUAGCCUAGCAAUGAUUUUCAUGCUCAUGUAUCAGUUUCCAUCUCUUUAUGUAAUGGGCAUAUAAUCUGAAUUUCAGCUGAGACUCUAUGUAUUUGGCCAUGGUGCCCUCCUAUAAGACUUAAGUUGUGGCAAUGACGUUAAGUAACCCUAUGCACUUAUUGUGAUGCUCCAUGUUUAUGUUGAGCUUAAAUAAUUUUCUACAAUGACUUUAAUCCUUGUGAAUUGUGGCUGUGAAUGAUCGCGAGAAUAACCAAGUGUUGUGGAUGAUAUUUUCUUGUUGUACAUGGAUUAUUGUGCCUUGAAUUAUGUGAAUUUACUUCAUUAAAUUCCGUAUGGCAACAAUUGAGGUUCAUGGCAAUUAUAUUUGUUGUCCUAAACGGUCACUUGGUAUGCCUUGUGCAGAUGGCUUGCAAUACUCGCUCCGGUCACAAUGAGGUGCCGCCACCACCACCUCCUCCCCCGCCUACGCCUGCUGAGCUCUUGGCAACUCUUGUUGAGGGCCAGCGAAUGCUCAGUGAAGCUAUGCAGACCAUGGCGCAGCAGAACCGGGGUGGUCGCCAUGUCCGUCAAGGUGGAGAGGCUAAUCAGCACAGUAGCUUCAAGGAUUUCCAGGAUACCAAGCCGCCGCUUUUCAAGGAGGCUGUCGAACCUCUAGAAGCCGAUGAAUGGCUGAACACUCUUGAGCAGAAAUUCCGCUUGCUGAGGGUAACCGAAGAGCUAAAGGCGGAAUAUGCAGCCCACUAGUUGGAGGGCAAAGCAGGUUUUUGGUGGAGUCAUUACAGGACUAGCUUGCCUGCCAAUGCUGUUGUGACCUGGGAUCAGUUCAAAACUGCUUUCAGGAACACCUAUAUUCCCCAAGGCUUAAUGACUAUCAAGCAUACUGAGUUCAUGAACCUGACACAGGGCACUAAAAGCUUGACUGAGUAUCUUCAUGCUUUUAAUAACCUAUCUCUCUAUGCUCCUGAAAUGGUUGAUAAUGAAGCCAAGAAGCUUGCAAGUUUCAAGAGAGGUUUGGGACCCAUGCUGUCCAAGAAUAUGGCUAGUAACAAGAGUACCACCUUUAAUGAGUUUGUGAGUGAUGCGUUGACUCAGGAGAACUCCAAUGCCGUGUAUGCCGCGUCCAAGAACCACAAGAGAGCCUAUGAGGCAGGUGCUUCACAGUCCAAGGCUCCAGUGACGAAUAAGCCGGCCUAUCGCCCACCAAAUGCUGUGACAAGGUAUAGGCCGCCGCAGAAAAAGUCAAAUAUGAAGACGGGAGUUCACAAGUCCUUCACAGUUGCUCUUCCUAGGGGUGCUACAGGUCAAGGAGGUCCCAAGACUCCCCCUGAUAACCGUCCUUGCUUCAAUUGCAAACAAGUUGGUCACUGCGCGAGAGAUUGCCCUUAUCCCAAGAGAAAUUCUAUAGCUGGGGGUAAUAACCGUACUGGCCGAGUGCACUAUACCACCAUUGAAGAAAUCCCCGAAGGUGAAGUGGUCACGGCUGGUAUGUUCCUUGUAAAUCAACACGCUGCAGUUGUCUUGUUUGAUUCUGGAGCUUCGCAUUCAUUCAUGAGUCAAGCAUUCGCAUCUAAGCAUGGGCAACAUGUAAUUGACCUUGAUAGUGGAAAAUUUUGCAUUAGUGCUGCUGGUAAUCAGAUCUCUACAAAUCAAUUAGUGAGGGAUGUGCAUAUCGCCAUUGAAGGGCGUAGUUAUUCAGCAAAUCUUGUCAUUUUACUAGGCUUGGGAAUAGAUGUAAUCCUAGGAAUGAAAUGGAUGAGUGAUCAUGGAGUGUUAAUAGACACUUCAACUAGGGUAAUCAUGUUGAGGGAGCCUGAUAGUAAAGAAGCUUUCUUAGUUCAACUCCCUAGAAGUAACGACAUCCGUCACGCACCUAAUGCUAUCAGACCACUCACUGCGGCAGAGAUUCCUAUAGUGUGUGAGUUUCCGAACGUCUUUCUAGAGGAUCUACCCGGGUUGCCACUGGAUACAGACAUAGAGUUUAAAAUUGAUCUAAUUCUGGGUACCGCACCUAUCUCUAGAAGGCCAUAUCGAAUGCCACCCAAUGAGUUGGCAGAAUUGAAAAAGCAAUUGCAAGAACUUCUCGAGAAAGCUCUUAUUCGGCCUAGUUCUUCUCCAUGGGGUUGUCCGGCUCUCUUUGUUAAGAAAAAGGACAAGUCUCUACGUAUGUGUGUAGACUAUCGUCUGCUUAAUGCUGUGACCGUUAAAAACAAGUAUCCACUGCCUCGCAUUGAUAUCCUGUUUGAUCAAUUAGCUAAGGCCAAAGUAUUCUCCAAGAUUGAUCUGAGAUCUGGGUAUCAUCAAAUCAAGAUCCGACCCGAAGACAUUCCUAAAACGGCUUUCUCUACCAGGUAUGGGUUGUAUGAGUAUCUAGUCAUGUCCUUUGGUCUGACUAAUGCCCCUGCUCAUUUCAUGUACCUGAUGAAUUCGGUGUUCAUGCCUGAACUGGAUAAGUUUGUGGUGGUGUUCAUCGAUGAUAUAUUGGUGUAUUCCGAAAAUGCCCAAGAACAUGAGAAGCACAUUCGGAUUGUACUCACUAGAUUGCGAGAACAUCAGCUCUGUGCCAAGUUUAGCAAGUGUGAGUUUUGGCUGAAGAAAGUGCCUUUCCUAGGCCACAUCUUAUCCGAAGAGGGUAUUUCUGUUGACCCAUCAAAAGUGCAGGAGGUUCUAGACUGGAAGGCCCCGACUUCAGUGCACGAGGUUUGGAGUUUUCUUGGUCUAGCUGGAUACUAUCGUUGCUUUAUUCCGGAUUUCUCCAAAAUAGCUAAGCCUAUGGCCAAGCUACUGCAAAAAGAUGUGAAGUUUGUGUGGUCCCAGGAGUGCGAAGUCGCUUUCACCACUUUAUGCCAUUUGCUGACCACCGCUCCUGUUCUAGCACAGCCUGACAUUGAAAAGCCAUUUGACGUCUUUUGUGAUGCAUCUGGCACUGGCCUAGGGUGUGUACUUAUGCAAGAAGGUCGCGUUAUUGCCUACGCCUCUCGGCAGUUGAGGAAAUAUGAAGCCAACUACCCAACUCACGAUCUGGAGCUAGCAGCGGUUGUACAUGCGUUGAAGCUCUGGAGACAUUAUCUGUUGGGUAAUCUAUGUCAUAUUUACACUGACCAUAAGAGCCUCAAAUAUAUCUUCACACAGCCUGAGUUGAACAUGAGACAAAGAAGAUGGUUGGAGUUGAUAAAGGACUACAAUCUAGAAGUGCACUAUCAUCGGGGCAAGGCCAAUGUUGUAGCCGACGCUCUUAGCUAGAAACAACAUGUUGGACCUCUCUUAGAGGAAGGCUUCAAUUUAUUGCAUCCUGUGGUCCUGCACAAUAUCGUGGUCAGCUGCUCGUUAGAGAGUCAAAUCAUAGAGCUCCAAAAAUCUGAUCCUGGUAUUUUCCAUAUCAAAAGAAAAAUGCAAGAGCAAGACACCAAGCAUUUCAGGGUAGAUGAGAAGGGUGUACUGUGGUUUGACGAUCGACUAGUUGUACCUAAAGACCGUGACCUACGCAACAAAAUUUUAGAUGAAGCUCAUUCUUCCAAGUUGUCCAUUCAUCCUGGUAGUAGCAAAAUGUACCAAGACUUGAAACCCCGUUUCUGGUGGACCAAGAUGAAGAAGGAGAUAGCUGCCUAUGUUGCUAGGUGUGAUACUUGCUGCAGGGUAAAAGCAGUUCACCUCAAACCUGUAGGUUUAUUGCAACCUUUGUCGGUCCCGGGUUGGAAGUGGGAAGAAAUCAGCAUGGAUUUUAUUGUUGGCCUUCCCCCUACCCAAAAGGGACAUGACUCCAUAUGGGUGAUUGUUGACCGUUUAACCAAGUCAGCUCACUUUAUCCCCGUACGUUCUACGUACCGACCUUCCGACUAUGCUGAGUUGUACUUCUCUCAGGUGGUUAGAUUGCACGGAGUGCCUCACACUAUUAUUUCUGAUAGAGGUCCUCAGUUCACUGCUCGCUUUUGGGAGCAUCUGCAUUCACUCCUUGGUACAAAGUUGGUUCGAAGUUCAGCCUACCACCCUCAAACCUCCGGUUAGACUGAGCGUGUGAAUCAGAUUGUAGAGGAUAUGUUGAGGGCAUGUAUGAUAUCUUCCCAGGGUGCAAGGGAGAAAUGGCUACCCUUAGCUGAAUUCUCUUACAACAAUAGUUAUCAAGAAAGUAUCCAAAUGGCUCCUUUUGAAGCUUUGUAUGGCCGCUAGUGUAGGACUCCUCUAAACUGGGUCGAACCCGGCGAAAGGAGAUACUACGGAAUUGACUUUGUUAAAGAAGCCGAAGAACAAGUUCUCAUUAUCCAGCAACACAUGAAAGCUGCUCAAGCUAGACAGAAAAGCUAUGCGGAUAGAAGAAGAAAACCACUUGAGUUGGAAGUAGGUGACUUUGUGUACCUAAAAGUAUCGCCCAUGAAAGGUGUGAAUCGCUUUGGUGUGAAAAGGAAGCUUGCCCCUAGGUAUAUGGGUCCCUACCAAAUCAUUGAGAAGAGUGGCAAGGUAGCUUACAAAGUACAACUACCUCCCGAAAUGAGAGCUAUUUUCCCUGUAUUCCACGUGUCUCAACUCAAGAAGUGCCUUCGUGUGCCGAAGAGAGAGUUGAAACAAGAGAUAUCAAGUUGCAAUCCGAUCUAUCCUAUGAAGAAAAGCCUGUACAAGUUCUUGAUGUCAAGGAGAGGGUUACUCAUGGGAGAGUGAUCAAGCUCUUCAGAGUUUUGUGGAACCGUCAAAGUGAGAGAGAUGCCACUUGGGAAAGGGAAGAUUAUUUACAAGUAACUUAUCCAACAUUCUACGAAAAAUGGUACGUCUUUCAAAUCUCGGGACAAGAUUUUUGUAAGGGGGAGGGCUGUAACACUCCUAGUGUUAGCUUGCAUGUUAACCAUGAGCAUUGCAUCAACAUAAGCAUCAUCAUGAUCACUCAUGAGCAUCAUACCAUGAUCACAUGCCAUUUGCUACAUGUACUUUGUGAUUGAAUUGCUAUAUGACUUGCUAUGGUUGAUUGUAAUAGGUGACUAAGGUAUACAAGUGUACAUUGUCUUCCAAAAUACUUUAAUCAUGUUUAGGACAUCAUUUUGAACAAAGUUCAUGUUGAAGGUUUUGGCCAAAAAUGCCCCUAAGUCAUGGUUAACCCUAGAUUUACCUAUUUGACCCCCUAGACCUCCUUUCAAAUAUGUUUUAUGAAACUGGUGUUAGAGGCCUUGCAUGUAAAUGACACCUAAAACAAAGUUGUAGUACAUUUCAUAAGCUACAAAAGUUAUGUUGAUGACUUUUCAUGAAAAAGCAAGGAACACAUUCAAAAGUUGCUCACAAGACAAAAAUCAGGGCUGAUUUCACACUUAGCCGAAUUUGGUUAAGUCUUAAGUCACACAGUUUCGAGGUGGGGUACUUUGGAGUGUUGUAGUUUGAAAUCCAGGUCGAGUUAGAUGUUGAUCCUUUGAGCAAACAUGUAGAACUCGUGUAGCUCUACCCAAAGGACCAAAUCCGAGCCAAAACCAUCGAGUGAGCUGAGAGUAAAACGUCGACCAACUUCGGGAUUCAGUCACUGCAAUCGGCGUUUCAGAAAAACGAUUCAGUUUGGACAGAGUUCACCCGCCGCCGCGUGUCCGGCCACCUGUCGGCCGUACACCAUCGACGGCCCCCCUGUCAGCUCCCACGGCGUCCCCAAGUCACCACGCACCGAGUGGAUGCCUCAGACGCGACCCCCACUCGCUCAGAGCGCUUCAUUUCGCUCCGCCAUUAUCACGGCGAGCUCCGCCGCGCUUCGGCGAGUUCUAACGGCUGCUCCUUCGCGUCUCCGGCCGAGCCAGUCCGCCCAGAUCUCCGCCUCGACCUCCUCUACCUCGACGUCCACUCCAUUUCCUUAGCCAAGCACCUGUGAGGUCACAUUGCCCACUCCGUCGCGAGCUCCACCUCGCCGGAGUUCACAGGGAUCACCGGCACCGUGGCCAGACCUCUCUGUUUCACCUCUGGCUGUGAUUCUUCUUCCUGUAGCUUCGCCUUGAGUCACUCUUGCUCGUCCGCAAGCUCUACCGCGUCGCCAUUGCCUAGAUCCGUCGGCGUAAUGCCGCGCAGCGCCGCCGAGCCGCCAUUCCCGACGGCGAGCACCCUAGGGUCCCGUAGAGCGCGGGUAAAGUAGGUCACUGAGUCCGCCUUGAUGAGAGGAACACGUAGAUGCCCUUGGAUCCGGCCGAGACCUCGCCGUCGUCGAGCUUCGCAUGCGACGAGCGUCUCCCCUGUCACUGUGUCACUGGUGAGCGGGUCCCGCUGACCAGCGGAUCCCACCUGUCAGUCUCACCCUCUCACACUCUGGUCACUGUGUAGCAGAUUCUUUGCUGUUUUUGUAAAAUUCAUAUCUGGAGUUUUAUAGAUCCAAAUGACAUGGCUCCAAUUUUGUUAGGUUCUGAUAAAUUUAUCAUAAUUUUUGGAAGCCUGAUUGUGAAGUUAUAAAUAUUUCUUGUUCAAAUAGGAGUUUCUUGUGGUAUUUUUAAUAAAUAAAGUAUGACUCGUUUGGUGGUGAAACUUGCUGAGUGUUGUACUCAGGGGUAAACAAAGCUAGGAAAAAUCUGAAAUCUGUUGUUUGACACUUUUUGAUAGGGUUUCACAUUUAUGCCUUGCAUGCCUUUGCUAGCUUGUUAUUUUUGUUUCUCACAAUCUGUAUGUGCAAGUGCCCUGAAAAUUUUACAGUAACCUUGUGUUAGCAUUAGUAACUUGCUGUAAUUUUCUUAGAAUUCUUGGAGCACUUGGGAUGCAUGCUCAUUAAAUCACCUUAAUAAUUAAAUAAAUGAAAAAGGGGAUGAUGAAAAUUAGUUUAGACCUUGCCAUGAUGUUUUCUAGUGUUUCCUAGACAUGUUCCAUCUACUGGUGCAAUUGGAUUGACCCUUUGAUACAUUCUUGUUAUGUGCAAAAUAUUAUUUUUGCUAUUUAUGCCUUUCCUAGAGCAAUUCUGGGUAGCUGAUAGAAAUUGCUUAAGAACUAAUUGAAUAUGAUGUUUUCUAGGAAACUUGUCUGCAACAAACUUGUAGCUAACUUGCUUAUCUACUUCGUGUCCAAGUUUCAUGACAUUUGAUUGAGUAGUUUAAAAGUUACAAAGUGCUUGCUCUCUGGAGUUUCCAGGAAAGCCAGCCAACUUUGUAAGUUUUGGCCAAUUUCGGUUGGGAAUCAUGCUGGGGUGUCUAAAAGUGAAUUGUAGAUAAUUUGCUAAGCUUUCCAGAAAGUAUUUACUUGCUUAGUUUGGCCAACUGAUGCUUAGGUUAUAGCUGAAACGUGUGACAAGUUGGUCUGUCUACAAAACCAGUGGCUGAAUAGGAGUGACUAAGGUUGUUUAAUUUGUCUAGUUAGCCUCUCUACCAGAGAAGAAGUAUGCACUUACUUGUUAUCCUAUGAUUCACUUAAUUUUAGGAGUGUAUGCUCAUGUUAUACCUUGUUUUAUGUUCCUUUGGCUCUUCAUCAUGACAUCAUGCAUCAUAUGUGCAUUCUCUAUAUCAUCUCCUUGUCAUGCAUACAUAGGUGUACCCAAGGGCGUGACCGUGUUGGAGUUCGAGGUGUCGGAGUCGGAAGGUCAACAAGGGGAGCCACCUCAAGGAGCUGAGGAGGAGGAGGACUUGCCGGAGUGUUCCGACCAUCGCCCGUCCACCUACGUUGAAGGCAAGCCCCGGAGCAUUAUAAGCCUCCUACUAUUUUCUUUAUAUCAUAUCCAGCUAUCAAUUGACUAUGUUUAUGUAUUGUUGCACUAGGUGUUAGGCGUUGAUAUGACACCCUUGCUGCAUAAUGACUACCUUGUCCACCUUAUACCUCACCUAAGUAGGUCCAGGAUCGAAAUGAUGCUUAGCCAUGCUUAGCUCGGUAGAAGCCGGAUGAUUUCCUGUCACCUGCGAGAGAUAGGUGGAUGCUGAUCACGGUUGGCUAUAUUUGCUAUCGUGGAAAUAGCCAUGUGCUAAUAAUGAACUUGAGACCGGGCGGGAUGACGAUAGUGCAGCAACAAGGCAUGGAGGUCUUGGGUGUGAAUCUAUCCCCGUCUGUGUCGGUUAAGGACCGAAUCGUUGUACGUCCCCGUGUCAUGUUGAACGCAUGCCUAUCACUUAGUUGUCCGGAUAAGUCGUUCCGACCGCGAAGCCUACGAGUGCAACUCAGGCCGGAUACCCCGUUCUGUAUGAGUGCGCACCCCGGUUGGGAGUAAGUAUGUGCGGGGAGUCAAUGGCGUAAGUCCGAGGAGUCAGGUUAGAGUCCUGACCCUGGCAGAUUGGUGGUCCCUGGUGGUGCGGCGCUGGACGGACCCGCGAAUUGGUCCGGAGUUGUGCUAAAGGUGAUCCGAGCUGCCCUCAUGAAGUAUGCUUGGGUGAGUUUUAGGAAUACCCCUCCAGCUGGAUAGGAAUCGAUUCGAAUCGCCGUCUCUCCCGGAUAGUGAGAACUUGACUUGGGCAGCGGCAACGUAGAAUUCACUAAGUAAACUUAAUGGUUAUGAUGAGAAUGUUGAUAGCAAAGUGAUAGUCCGGAUAUGGUUAUUAUUGAAAUGCUUAAUUACUCAAGUGUGUGCUUAGAACAGGUGCUAAUCUAGUGAAUAGUUGCUAAGGGAUGAACCUGCUGCUAAAAUAUUAUAAAUGAGUUACUUACAUCUAAAGCCUUUAUGCAAAAGGUGAGUCAAACCAGUCCACAAAGAUCAGCCUUGCAUACUCUUUUGGUGUCACUUUAUUUCUGGUUUAUGAAGGGUAAGUCUAGCUGAGUACCUUCUCGUACUCAGGGUUUUAUUUACCCCUGUUGCAGACAACGUCGUUUAUCACGGCUAUUGUGCUAACUGCCAUCAUCCGGCUGCGGAUGAUGAAUAGAUGAUGGGCGUGAUCAUCUUCUCUAUCUUCAGUUAUGCUUUUGUUGGGUUUGACCAUGGAACUGGCAUGUAAUAUAAACUGAGUGUGUGAUGUUUUAAAACUACUUUGAUUCCGCUACCAAACCGGUUUGUAAUAACCAUGUUUAAACUCUGAUGUGAUGUAAAACUAUGUUCUGUGAUGAAUGUAUGUAAUCUGUGAUGGCGAUGCUUGAUCAUGUACGGUCUUGGUUGUAUGUUGGUUGAAUCGAGGUCUUUUGAGAUUUCGUCGGGCUACCGGGUUUAUAUGGGUUCAAGUCCAUUGGCUUGACUGCCUCCGUUGUCGCUAAUUCACUUGAAUUCUUAUAAAUUGGACGGUUCUGUUACAAAUUGCAUAUUUAAUACCGUGUCUCUCAUGUCAUGCUGGGGAUGACAACUUGGCUUAAGUGGUAUGAGGGAUAGGUUUGGCAUUUUUGGCACCGUUACUAGAAUUAGAAACUAUCUACUUUUGGUAGUGAUGUUAAGAAUACCCAACAUGCAUUUUUAGUGCCGUUGCUGGGGAAGGUUGAUUACUAAUUGGGAAUGAAUAUAGGAUUUUGAGUUAUCAUUCGCGUCACUAAUAUGAUUGAGCUUAUCAAUUCUCUCAUACAGUUUUACCCCGAUAUUUUUCAUAUUUUAUCUUAUGAAGGGUAAUGCAUGAAUAGAAGACAUCUUCCAGGAAAUUUUGUUGACAAUCCCGAAGCCUUAUUUAGGAAAACAACAGCCAAGCUCAAGAAGAGAUCAUCAACACUUCAGCAAGAAGCUUCAUCCAGUCAAGAAGAUCACCGGAACUUGUCUUCAGAGUUCGAAGCCAUGACGAACAAAUCGAUCCGUGAGUUCUCAGCUCCCACUAUGGACAACUUCUGUACUGGACCUGCUGCAGAGAUCGUCGGCAACUUUGAGCUCAAGCCUGGACUUAUCAACAUGGUGCAAUCCAAUCAGUUCUGUGGGAAGGCACAUGAAGAUGCUAGUGCUCAUCUCCAACACUUCCUGGAGAUAUGUAGCACAUUUACCAUAUCAGGAGUUUCCAGAGAUGCUAUACUACUUCGCCUCUUCCCAUUCUCACUGCUAGGAAGAGCGAAGCAGUGGUUCUACGCUACAAAGGAGAAGAAUACUACGUGGGCACUCUGCUCAACAAACUUCCUGGCUAAGUUCUUUCCCAUGGGCAAGACCAAUGCUCUCCGCGGGAACAUUACAAGUUUUCAGCAACAACAUGAUGAAUCCGUUCCAGAAGCAUGGGAGCGCUUCCAAGACUACAUCCUAGAAUGUCCCCAUCAUGGAAUGGAGAGCUGGCUACUAAUGCAGACAUUUUAUCAUGGGCUCAGCAACAGUGCCCGAGAAACCAUGGAUGCUGCAGCUGGAGGAGCAUUCUUAUCACUUACCAUAUCACAAGCCACAACUCUUGUGGAAAAGAUGGCGUCCAACCAAGGCUGGAAUGAAGAGAGGACCCAGACAUGCAAGAAAGGUGGAGGUAUGCAUCAGCUCAAGCAGGUAGACAUGCUGUCUGCAAAGCUAGACCUGCUCAUGAAGAAGCUCGAUGAUAGAGCUGGAAAUAAGAAAGAAGUUAUGCACAUCUACGACUCUCACAUGACUUGUGAGGAGUGUGGAGACACUGGACACUCAGGCAAUCACUGCCCUGAGAUGCUUGAGGAUGUGAACUACAGCAACAAUAACAACAACUACUACUACAACCGUCCUCAACAAAAUCAAGGUUGGAAUCAACAGAGGCCUAACUACUCAGGUAAUUAUCAAGGUAACAAUUCUUACAAUAAUAAUAAUAAUUUUCCACCUCUGAGAGAGUUAGUGUCUAAUCAAGGCAAGCUAAUGGAUAACCUAUCUAAGAAAUUGGCAUCUAAUGAUAAAAUGCUAGAAAAUAUAAAUAAUAGAAUGGAUAAUUUCUCUGCUGCCAUCAAGAAUCAAAUUAGCUUUAAUAAAAUGAUUGAAUCUCAGUUAAAUCAAAUAGCUGCUGCUGUUCCUGCUACUAACCCCGGUAUACCAUCACAACCGGAAGGGUUAGAAUCUGCAAAUCUUGUAUACAUGUUUGAUGCAGGUAAUUGGAGUAACCCCGUCACUGAAGUUACUACUGACCUUCUGCCGGUCAAGAGAGGCGAUCCAGGACGCCCCGUCAUCCCGAUCUCCAUCGGCAUGGUGGAUGUCCUAGAAGCACUCUGCGACUUUGGCUCUAGUGUCAACAUUAUACCCAGGAAACUCUAUGAAAAAAUCUUUACAUAUCCUUUAUUAGAGACAACCAUGUAUUUGCAGUUUACAGAUCAGAUGAUAAGUUUUCCAAAAGGAAUAUUGAAGAACCUUUGUGUCCGAGUUGGUACCUUAUAUGCCCCAGCAGACUUCGUGGUGAUAGAGACCGAUAAUGAUGAGAGGGCACCCAUCAUCUUAGGGAAGCCAUUCUUAAACACCUCAGGAGCUGUCAUCUACGCUAGUGCUGCCAAGAUCAGUUUCUAUAUCAAAUGGAAGAAGGAGACGUUUUCCUUCAAGAACAAGACUACACAAAUCCCAGAUCAAUCUAGACAUGAAUCAAGGAAGAGCACCAACAGGAGGAAUAGGAACAAGCAAGUGUGGACCGAGUCAGCUAAGAUGGUCACUACAGUUCAUGGAGGCCAAGAUCAUGAACUUAAGUCACCGUUUUUGACCAAGACGGAUGACCCAGGAAUGCCAAGCAUCUAUUGAUCCAUAAAUGGAUAUAACUUCUACAAGACGACUUGCGACACCGGAUUGGGCGUCAACAUAAUGGCCGCAGUCACCUAUCGGCUCUUGUUCGGAACCAUGCCCCUAAAACCAACAUACAUUCAGCUCUAGAUGGUAGAUCAGACGUUUCGAGAGGUUAAAGGUACAGUAACUGAUGUCCCAGUCAAAAUAGACGAUCAUUUUGUCUACACAGACUUUCAGGUUAUUGACAUGGGAGAAGACGAAUACGAUCCACCCAUCAUCCUUGGAAGACCGUUCCUCAGCACCGUUAAAGCAAUCAUCUACAUUGGAACUGGAGAAGUCCAUAUGCACUUCCCCUCAGAGAAGGUACGCCGCUAUUUUACUGACCCUAACUAUAUCAUUGAAGAAUCUAAGCCGGUCAGAAAGCGACACAACCGCAACCAGAGGUGGCAAACCAUCAAGGACGGAUGGGCAGACUAUGAAGGAGAAGUGGUAAGCUCAGACGACAUUCAAUUUAAACAGAAUUAUCCAGAGGAGACCGUAGCACCGAGUCAGGUGUGGAGAGAGAAGAUAACUAUACAUGGAGAGGAGGCGCUGCCGGAAGUAAUGACUCCGCCACCCAACGAAUCUCAGGACAACUAGAAAACGGAGAAUCCCGUUCGGAAGACUUAAAACACCGAACGCCUUGCCAUGAGGUAAACUUGGUAGUUAUCUUUUCCCUUUCAAAUAUUUAAAAUAAUUUACUUUGUUAAUUAUGUUCAUACUAUCCUAAAAAGAAAAUAAAAAUGUUAAAAAAAUAGUAAGCCCCAUGUGAGUAUACGAGUGGCAUAAAACCCAUAAGUACAUUCACUGUGGUGGCAUAAAAAUAAAAUAAAUAUUUCUUUUCUGUUUUAUAAAACGAAAAUAUAAAAAUAAGAGAGUGAUAUUUAUUGAGGAGUCUCAACAUGAUAAAGGCUAGAUAUUUAUGAUAACACUUAAUCAGUUCCACAAAGCUUUGUUGUCUAUUUGAGCUCCACAGAAUUUAAGAAUCAAAGAAGACUAGGAGACGGAGGACAUUCUAAUCGCUGUCAGGAUGCUGCCGACUUUCAAAUACACCUCUGCCACCUGCUAGCUACAUCAAAAGAAAUUACGUCAAAAUUCAGCUUAGGGGAGAGCACCCCCAUUUAUCCCGCUAAGUAUUUCUAUCUAUCUUUAUACUUAUACUAUAUUAAAAUAUAAAUAUACAUAACUAUGGAAAACCAAAUAAAGAUUUUAUGCUUAUAUAUAUAUAUAUAUAUAUGUCUUUUGCUUAGUGUGUUUAAUAAAUAAAUAAGUGGCUAUGCUAAACUGGAUUUUAAUAAUAAAACUCUAGCAUGGAUAUGAUGAAUAGUUGCUCUGCCUAAUUUUCAAAUUUGAAGUUCUCUCAAGUAUAGACAUAAUUGUUACAAUUUAAAGCUUGCUCUAAACCUAAACUUGUGGGAAGAAAACUUGAUCUAAAGUUUAAGUUGUUAACGGAUAUGAUAUGGGAAGGUUGAGCUGCUAUUUAUCUGUUCCUAGAGAUGCUAGAAUUUUGGAAAAUUUUAUCUUUUAAAAUCUUUAAAAUAUUGCAUGAUGAAUUCCUGUAUGAUGAGAGUUUAAAUUCCUACCACAGCCAUAUAUACAUGCUUGCUAGACUUUGAGCCACACAUUUACUUUUUACAACUUAUGAGCAUUGAGUGUGGUCAAGCUGUGUAGACCCUUAGGAGCUUGUCAUGUGUGGUGAAAAUCAAGAUUCACUUGUCAUGUGUGGUUAAAAAAGCACAAAAAUUCUCUAUUUUCCUAAAUAAUCAUGAAAUGUGGUAUGUAUACUAGUUAUAAUUAACUAACUAAAUCGGUCAAAAAUUGCAAAUUAAAGUAUUAUAUGUUUUUAUUUUUUUCUAAACUAAUUAAAAUAAAAAAACAUAUUACCACUAUUUCUCUAAAAAAACGCGUCGCUUUUGAAAUGGCGAUGAAGCUAAUAACCUCUUAAAAAAACCAUAAAAUAAAAAACAAUAUACAUAACACUAGGAAAUGACAUACGCCGCUUCUAAAUGUUGAGAAGAUGAAGCUAGUGACCUCUUAACAAGUCGAUGACGGUGUAGAAACGAUGAAAUGAAUCAAUAGCCGGAGAUGAGAGCAAGAACAAGCAACUCCAAAUGAAGAACACCGUAAAAGAGUGAAGAUCGAUGGGCUCGGCCACGGGAAGAAGAGUUCAAAUAUGGGGAGGGACAUUUAGUCCCGGUUCCUUUUAAAAACCGGGUCUAAAUUCCAACACUAGUCCCGGCCGGUGGGACGGACCGGGACAAAAGCUUUUAAUUCCGGUUGGUGUACCAAUCGGGACUAAGGCUAGCUUUNNNNNNNNNNNNNNNNNNNNNNNNNNNNNNNNNNNNNNNNNNNNNNNNNNNNNNNNNNNNNNNNNNNNNNNNNNNNNNNNNNNNNNNNNNNNNNNNNNNNAUCUCGAAUAUAGGGUAGGCUUUUUCUCCGGGGGUGAGUUCAACCGCGAGUAAAAGUUCCAUCUCUAGAUGUGUGACAUGAUAGCCGUUGGGCAGGGAGACUUUUAUUCCCGGUUGGUCUCACCAACCGGGACUAAAUAUGUUUUUGUCCCAGACUCUAUUUUGGCCGAGAUUAUUGUUCAUUUUGGGUAAGUGACCAAAGGCCUGUUCUGUAGUAGUGGUGGUUAAAAUCAAGAUUCACUUGCACGUUCACUCACAUAUGUUGCUUCUACUCCGGAAGUAUCAUCCACAUAUAUCCACUCAUUUCCAUCUCUAGAACCACACAAAAAUAUUCUACUCCUAAUCCGGGAGAGAAUAGCUAAAAAACGAGGAAAUAAAAAGGGGCAAGUGCCCGGAACCUCGAAAGAAAGAAAAAGUGAGACGAGAGGUAAAAAUGGACAAGUGUCCGACAGUAGAAUUAGGGGUACAAGAUACCCACCUGAGAGAAAAAAAAUAUAGAGCAUCUCAAUCUCCUCACAAAGUUUCAAAAAAAGCAAGAAAGGUAUUUAUCCCCUCAAAAGAGCAAAGUAGAAUUAGACUUUCACCAUUGUUUUCACCAUUGUUAUCAUCACCAUACACCAUUCAUUCGCCACAUAUGCACAUCUUGAUUUGACUUAUUGAUUUGUUUCUCUGGAUCCAUGGUUUGACUAUGCAAUAAAUGUCUUGUAAGUAUGUAUAUUUUAUCUCCCACCUAUGAGCUCCACAUAUUAAAGCCUUAUUAGAGUAUGGUGAGAGAGAAGGCAAUGUCACUAUGCCUUAUACCACAAAUACUACAUAUCUUGAGUGAAGGCAUAUACCAUCACUGCCUUGGUAAGGAUCCAGAAAUACCACAAAAGAGAGAUUUGAGAGAGUCAUACAAGGAAUCUCUGAAUUUUAUUUGAAAAUCUGCAAAAACUUCAGAGCUAUAGUUGAUC